RNAcentral lists this long non-coding RNA (61487 nucleotides) under Eucalyptus grandis. RNAcentral describes it as "long non-coding RNA (EGRA_LNC003598)". The stretch from base 23437 to 23522 matches the Rfam family "tRNA". Lineage: Eukaryota; Viridiplantae; Streptophyta; Magnoliopsida; Myrtales; Myrtaceae. The record is from RNAcentral.
UGGUUCCAGACUGAUGAAGCCAUGGAGGAUCCUUCUGAGUAUGAAUUGUCUUCUGAUGGCAGUGGACAUCAACCUCAACGCCAUUGCUACAUCAAUGUGCUCGAUUUAUGUUUAAAGUACCUCUGAACUUUGUGAUGACAUAUGGUUAAUUCAUGCCUUAUUUUAUAAUCUAUGAUAACUACGUCAGGUUUCUGGAGUCUUGGGUUUGUAUUAUCCCUCAUUUCUACCUCGUGAAACAUUUCUCUGGCCCCCCCCCCCCAACCCCCCCCACUGAAUCGUUUAAAGAAUUGAUGUGGAUAUGAAUUUGAUUGUCUACUACUUUAAAGUAUAAUCUACUGUGGGAGGUGCUCUUGGUUUGGAGCAGAUUAGUGGCUAUUUCACUUGACGCGCUUUAAUGGCAUCCGCAAUGUUGACCAUCUUAGAAAUCAUGUGAGCAGCCAGCUUGUGACUAAUGCUCUCGAGAAGGUUUUCAUGCAGAAACCCAUUCUCGUCCUCUGGUUUUAGCAGGGAAAUCCUAGCACUUAAAUUCAGAACACAACACAGAGGAAGACGCCUGACGAUAUGAACUAAACACAGGGACGUCUUGGCACGAUGAGGUUUGUACCUGUCUCUGGCUGAGGAAAAUAUCUAAUGGACCCUUAUAAGUUUAUGGACAGAUGGUAUCUACAGCAAAUGUUUGAUCAAAAGACUUGACGUUUCCGAGCGUCCCCCUAGACCGGGCUUCAGUCAGUUGAGUCUUGAAUAUUUAGUGCUAACCAUUGGUGCGAUCUCCCCAUGUGCGUAUCUCCUGCGUGUGCAACGAAGGCAGAAGCAGACUGAGUCCCGCAGAAUGAUAACUAUUAAAAGUUCUCAUUUCUUCUGUUAUUGUGGCUGUGGUGAACACCGUGGUAACGGGGCAUUAGCUUGUGGAAUGAGAGCAUAGGGCAUGGUAAAUUGAUUUUGUUUCCUAGACAUAAUUUGUAUGCGUGACUUUCAUGCUUGAGACAAAAAGGGGUGGAAGCUAAAUUGACCAACAGAUCUUCCGGAGGAUGAGCUCCUACUUUGUCAUUGAAAAGGUAAGAUUGUCUCGGGAUUGCAUGAUUUCCUAUAUCCACGAGGAGUCGAUACUUAAAAGUCAUUCACAAGGACCUGAAAAUAAGCAAUGCACUUUUUGAGCGCUAUUCUAGAUCUUAAAUUUUCAGGCUUAGGUUGGCAAUAAGAAAGUUGCAGAAAGGACAAGUACAAAUAAGGAUACCUAGAAAGUCUGUAGCUUGUUUUGUAGAGGCCCACUGGUCUACUUCCGGACAGUUUAGAGACAUGAUUGUUCGAUAGUGGCUUAGCCACCAACACAUGCCUUCGAUGAUUUAGAGUAAAGUCUUAUGAAUGUGGAUUGCUUUUGGUAGACAGCAGUAAAAGGAAUAUAGGAGAUUUAAUCAAAGUCAUCACCAUUUUGGACAUUCAAGGAGCAGAAUAUAAUAGUAAUGUUGUAUGUCAGUUUCUUUGAUUUCGUUAAAGCUGUGGGCAUUUAUUUGCAAGCUAUAGCUUCUGCUGCUGAUAUUGAGCUGAAGGGGACGGUAUUAAAUGUGAAUAUAGAAGACAGAACAGUUGACAAAAAUGUGAAAAUUUUGAAUUUGGGAGGGAAAUAACCUUGCUUGUAAUUGAAAAUAGACUAGGCGGGAUUCAUUCAGGCAUAGCCCUUAUAUGGAGACUGCUAUACGAAUGACAUUGUUCUUUUUUUUUCUUGGAAAUCAUAGUAAUGAUCAUUCCAAAAUUUGCAUUAUCCAGAGACAACUUGACCAGUGCACAUGAAGUUAGACAAAUGAGCAAGACGUCAAUAUAUUCGCAGCAUUCAAUAUUAACAAAUCCAAUUGUGUGAAAGCACAUCAGGCAUUGGAUUUCGAGAAAAUAUAGAAUGGAGUGAUGGUAGGAUAUGUUCAACGACCUUGGAACCAUCUAGCUCAAACUGAAGUUGUAUACUUUAAUUGCCAUGUCAGAAGAAAGUGGAUGUUAGUCGUAAAUAAAAAUUACGCAAAACUUCUUGCUCUGACUUUAGUUUCGUUUGGACCAGGAGAAAUUCUAAAUUAGUGACGCAUCACUCAUCUUAAUGUACGUGCCACUGUUAAUGGCAGUCUUCUUGAUCUUGCGGCAACUUGCAAGGUGGACUACAUAUGAACCUUUUGCCUUUCAUGACCUGAAACAAAAAUGGAUUUAAUCGCGGGGAACAUAAAAGAUUAGUUUAAGUCUUCAAUCAAAUGCAAAAAAAAAACUCCUUUUGCCACUUGCACUUAUUGUUUUAUCAUCUUCGUGUCAUUGUUGGGUCCUCAUCUGGAUCUAGUAUUUGAGUUCCAACUAGUCUAUGAAAGAUGGAGAGACGUUGGUCUCUUCAGGCCAAAGAUUUGAGCUUGGCUUCUUCUCUCCAGGAAGCUGCAAGAACAGAUACUUGGGCAUUGAAACAAGAUCACUCCUCAGACAGUUGUUUGGAUUGCUAAAAGAGACAACCAACGGAUUCAAAUGGUGUUAUGACAUUCAGCCAUGCAGGGAAUCUAGUUCUUCUUAGCGGAAAAAAGUCACUACAAAUUUCAUGACUUACGUAUGGUGCUCACAUGAAAGUCAUAUUUUUUUCCCGAUCAGUUGGAUACCAUAACUUUCAUACGGCGGUUAGUUGAUUGUCAUAUAUAUAUAUUUUACUCAGUUGAGUACCGCAUAAUUUUUAUUUGAUCAGUUGAGUGCCAUAUAAUUCUUCAAUGGAUCACUUCAUAACUAUUUAAAAACGUUCACCACGAGUGCCAUGCCAUGUCAAAUUUCUGGCAUUUGGGUCAAUACUUUUUAAAAGUUAUGGCGUUUAAAUGAGUAUUGUAUGGAAGUUAUGACAUUUGUGAUAAUCUUAUCCCUCUUCUCAACUAAUCAAAUGAUUUCAAUGGGUCUUCAAAUUCAGCUCACAUUCUGAUGGUGCCUAUUAUUGGCAAAACUUUGAGUACCCAUCUGAAAUGGUCUUAGUAGAUAUGGAAUUGGGGUCGAACUUGAGCUGGAUUUAAAUGGUAUCUGACCACCUGUAAAAGUGUGGAUGACCCUAUCCCUGGUCAUUGCCACUUCAGAUUAACCACUCAGGGAUUGCCACGAUUUGAAGUGUUGAACGAUGGGUUCAUCUGAACAUAUUGCGAUCGGGAGGUGGCGUGGGAUCCAGUUUGAUGGCGUCUCGAUGCCAGUGGAUCCCAUUGUAAGGCAAACGGUGGUUUACAACCAGACGGAUGCCUACGCCGCGUACCAUCAGCCAUCAAAUGAUGAAAUCCUCACCAGAACACCAAUGUAUGGAUCUGGUUUGGUGCAAUGUUUGUGCGGAAGAAGGGAAGCUUUAGUUAGUCUAUCAUGCAAUUGCUUUCUAUUGAUCCCAUGACGGCUAUGCACUGUGUGGUUUACAAUGGUUUCUGCAAAAGUUACGGACCUUUGAGAUGCGAGUGCUUGCAAGGUUUCCUCCCAGAGCCGCCAGAAGAGUGGCAAAUGCUUUAAUUGGACCAGUGGUUUCUUGAGAAAGUUUCCCCCAAAUUGUUCUACAGGAGAAGCACUUUUCAAACUCUCUGAUUGUAAACUACCAGAUCUGAUCAACCAUUGGUUGGCCACUGGCAUGAGCCUUGAAGAAUGCAGGGUUCAAUGCACACAAAAUUGUUCCCGUAUAGCUUGUGCUAAUCGAUAUAUAUAUUAGUUAUUGGAUCAAAAGCUAAGCUUUUGUGGGUGCUGAAUAACUACAUAUCAUGAGUGGUGCUUCUCAUCAUUGCAUGGUAAGGGCGCUUUAACAUUAUCGCUGGAAUUGGUCUAGGUCUUCUUUGAAAGUGCUAGUAUUACUACCUAGAGGGGGGUGAAUAGGUAUAAAGACAAAUUUGGCCAAUAAAAGUAAUAAAAGUUAUUUUCUCAAAUAAGGUCUUAUUAAUAUCAAACUUCUAAGUUCAAUUCAGACUCAAAUAAGAUAUUUUGGAAUUUACCAGGACACAGAAAAAUAUCGCAAUAACCAAAUUAAGUCUAUGUCCACUCUCCCACACUGACAGCCUUCUAGCUGGAUUUCAUUAUGGAAUCAAAAGAGAAUUACAGUGAUUUGAGUACAAUCACUCAGUGAAGAGUUUGUUUCUCUCACUAAGUCACUCCUUUGUGUGUUUUUUUUGUUGGUAAAAUUAAGAAUGUCACCCCUUUUAUGUUUAUCUCUCUUUUGAGUACAAUUGCAAGCACUAUUGGUGAAGAACAUAUAGUUGGAAAUGCUUCAAACUUUGGAAUUUUAAUUCUCACACGCUAUCUCAAAUGAACCGAAUGAUUUCCUUAAAUACUCCUCCAUGUCUUUCUAAUUGUUGGUACUUUCCAGAGGAAUUUAUUCCAAUCAAUCCGUUGGACAGAAUUAAUUAAGGAAAUCUUAUAGCCAUUUGAAGAUUGAGGUAAAAAUCCGAUGAUCCUAGUCGCCCAUACAAUCAGAAUCUAGGUUUUCAUAAGUAGAUGCUUCUCAAAAAAGAACUUUUCAAAAUUGAUUUCAUCAAUCCAUGAUUGCUUUCAUCAAUAUAUUUAGAAAAGAUAAGUGAGAUUCUCCGCCAGAAAGCCAAUUAUGUCUUGAUCAUACUGAAUUCUAGUUGGAAGAUCAAUAAGCUUGAGUAUGAAUAUGUCUUCAUUCUAGACUGGGUUAAGUCUGGAUGGGAAAGACUUUUGAUGUAAAAAGACUUUGACAGCAUUCCUCGAUAUAACAUCGAAGUCCAAUGUUCCUCGGAACAAGAAUAAGAAUAAGAAUAAGAGAAGAAAGGUUUUGUCAACUUCAAAACCAAAUAGGAGUUUUCUCAACAAUCUUUACCUCCACGAAGAUUCAAAACUUCAAGUCAUUCACGGAGACCUUAAAAUUAGCAACGUCUUAUGGAUGACAAUUUAAAUCCAAAAUUUUCUAACUUCAUUGACAAGAAUCUUUUGGAAGUGAAGAAACAAAAGCAAGAACUAGAAGGAUCAUCGGCACUUGGUAAGUGCUCAUCUCAUUUCGUGACCUCCAAAGUUCAUGAGUUCUGAAACAUCGGGAGAAUUGAGACAUGAUUUACUUGAUGCAGUGGCUAUAGGUCCCUAAGACUAUGCCUUGGAUAAAAAAUUCUCGACGAAAUCCAAUGUACUAUGUAGUGCUCUUCUUGGAAAUGGAUAGUGGCAAAAGCAAUAGAGGAUUCUGCCAUCCGAGUCACCUUCACAACGUUCUCGGACAUGUAAUGCUAUUUCUUCUUAUACUUAAUUCCUUCUGAUGUUCAAAUCAUUACAGAUUCACAUAUUGGCUUCUAGUCGCUUAUCAUGUUUGGCGACCAACCAACUCAAGUUGAUCCUUCCUAGGCAUGGUUGCUGUGGAAAGAGGGCAUUGCCCUGUGUUGGGAAUGACUGAUCCCCGAAAAACCGGAUUCGAUACCGAAUCGAACCCCUAAAUCAAUGCGGAAGACGAAGCCCGGGAAAUCACGUAUCACCGAUCGUAAAGCACACCACGGAUUCGAGCGUACCUUGUUAGCCACAGAUUAAGCACCGACGCCGAUAGAGGAAGAGAUUUGGCCUUGUUCGAUCCGAUGACGCCUUGAAGGGAAGAAGAACGUGCCUUAUACUUACUGUUUCUUCUUUUUGUUUUUGGAGAGAGAGAGAGAGCGCGCGGGAGAAGACGUACGUUCAUUUUCUAUUUCCAAAAACCAUAUCAUCUCUCUCUCUCUCUCCUCCCUUUUAUACUUUCCCCCAUCCACGGGCCCUAUUCCCGUGGGCCGGGCCUUUUGGGCCCAGCAUGGGCGGACGGGCCUUAAGCCCAUCACCAAUUAAAACCAUCAUCUCCCACUCGCACAUGGUGGGCUGAACAUGAUUCUCUUUACCUCUCUUCAACAUUCAUACCGGUGAAUAAUCCGUGCGACCAGCAUACUUUGAGAGCUCGUUACUAUACAUCUGUUAGGAAUAUAUAGCAGCUCAUAAUGGGCGUCACACUCCGAGUAGAUUUAGUAUGCAGUACCCUAGAUCGAUCAAUCACAUCUAUAUCUCUCUUGAUCUCUUUUAAACAAUGAUAUAUAUAUUGUAUUCACAAUUAUAAUUAUCACAAAGACAGUCAUAAUUGGUCGACCGGUGAAUACAAAACUAUAAUAUGAUUCUCCAAAAUCGAUCUUCCUCUUCCCUUUAAACUCUCAAUUUCAGUUCAGCUUGCUAUUCUAGAAAUGCCCCAUUAGAUCGAAUCAUCUCAUGACCAUUGGCAACACCCUAAGAUAGCAAACACUAAAUAAAAAUCUUGAGAAUAAGUAAGAGUCAUGAGGGGACUAAAAAUUGAGGAACUCUUUUCCUCAAGAGUUUCACACGUCAUAAAAGUUGAGAUCAAACUUUUUGCCACUCUUAUUGGUCGUCUCAUGCAUACGUAGUAUGAAAUACGUAUUACGGUAUUAACUCCUUUCCCAUGGAGCGUAUGUCUACACCUUUCAAUACCGUACAGAUGAUAGUUCAGAUAUACCCAAUGUCUAACUUGAGUUCACGUAUCUACUCAUUCACAAAAUUCAUCAGAACUCACAUCUGGCAUUUUAGACAGAUAAAGUAAAAUAUGUGGGGUAUUUUACUUUCGGACAUCGUAAGUAUUAUGUCCUCAUCUUAACACUUAGUUAAGGCGACAUACGUAUUUUAAGCUUGAGCUCUCGAUUAUCACCUAGAUAAUAAGCUUAAAAUCAGUCUCAUCUCUAUUUAUCACACAGUAAACAUAGGCGAUUACCCGUGUGAGUGGGCUAAUCUUUUAUCUGUCCGACAUACUUCUCAACUUAAAGUAAUGCACUAAGCAUUAAGAUGCAUAAAGAUCAAACAAAGAUUCAUAGGCAUUAAUGAUGAAAACACAAAUUCAUCAAAUGUGAACACUUAGGGAAAAUACAAUAUUUAGUACAUUAGUCUCUACGCAAUCCUAGAGAUUUCAUAUGGCCACAAAACACAUCUCUAGGUAUUGGCUUUGUCAUAGGAUCUGCUACCAUUCUGUGCGUAGUAUGUACUCUAAGUUCACAUCCUUUUGUGCAACCAUAUCCUUUACAAAAUUAUACUUGGUAUCUAUGUGUUCGGUCUUGCCAUGAUAUUUUGGAUCUUUGGUGUACGCUAUAGCUGCUUGGCUAUCACAGUUAACCAAUAAUGGAUUUGCAACUUUCUCAAUAACACCUAAAUGAUCUAAAAAUCUCUUAAGCCAAACUCCUUCUUGUACCGCUGCUGAUAAUGCCACGAACUCAGCUUCCAUCGUGGAAAUGCUAUACACGUUUGCUUUUUACUGCUCCAUGAUAUGGCGCCAUUGUUCAAUAAGAAAGCAAAUCCAGAGGUAGAUUUUCUUUCAUCUAAAUCUCCUCCCCAAUCAGCAUCUGAAUAGCCUUCAAGUCGCAGAUCCUUUCCUUGGUAAUUCAACUUGAAAUCAGCAGUUCUCUUCAGAUAUCUCAGUAUUCUCUUGACGGCUUUCCAAUGUGCUGGACCUGGAUUGGAUUGGUAUCUACUCACCAUUCCAACUGCAAAACAUAUGUCGGGUCUUGUACACAUCAUAGCGUACAUCAAGCUCCCAACAGCACUAGCAUAAGGAACAUGUUUCAUUUGUUCCUUCUCUUGUGGAGUCCCUAGACACAGUCUGUGGCUCAAUCCUUCACCUUUUGCAAUAGGAGUGUCUAUGGGUUUACAGUCUUGCAUACGAAAUCGUUCAAGAACCUUAUUUAUAUAGGUUUCUUGCGAAAGAGACAACGAUCUCUUCGAACGAUCUCUCGAAAUCUUAACUCCUAGAAUGUAUGCAGCCUUACCCAUAUCCUUCAUCUCAAAGUUAGAAGACAACCAUCUCUUGACAGUAUUAACCAACUCCAUAUUACUUCUGGCAAUCAGUAUAUCAUCAACAUACAAUGAUAUGAUCACAAAUUGAUCCUUGGAUCUUUUGAUAUAUACACAAUGAUCCUCAUUAAUCAUUUUAAAAUCAUAUGCCAUUAUGGCAUUAUGAAAACGUAUAUACCAUUGUCUUGAUGACUGCUUAAGACCAUAUAUCGACCUCAAAAGUCGACAUACUUUUUCUUCUUGGCCUUUCACUAUGAAACUAGCAGGUUGUUCCAUAUAUAUUUCUUCCUCUAAUUCUCCAUUGAGGAAAGCAGUCUUUACAUCCAUUUGAUGUAACUCAAGAUCCAGACUAGCCACUAUUGCCAGAAUAAUGCGAAUCGAGGUAAAUCUUACUAUAGGAGAAAACAUAUCUUCAUAAUCAAUUUCUUCCUGUUGAUUAUACCCCUUUACCACAAGGCGAGCCUUAUGCCUUUCUAUCGAGCCAUCAGCCUUUCGCUUUAUUUUGAGAACCCACUUGUUCCCAAUAGCUCUGCAUCCUUUUGGAAGAUCAACCAGUUCCCAGACUUGGUUUGAUUUCAUUGACUCAAUUUCCUCUUCCAUUGUAUGAAUCCAUUUUUCCUUACUAGGGCAAUUCAGAGCCUCAUUGAUAUUUCUUGGCUCAUCCUCAUCUUGUGGAGCAACUAUAAAAGUUUCCCCUUCAAUGUCAAAACGUCGACGGGGAAUACUUUGGCGAUUUGUUCGCCGUAUGGGAGAUUGUACACUUUGCACAUCAUUCCCUAUUAUGCUCCCACUUGGAUGAACUCCACUAAUAUCAUUAUCUUGAUCCAAGGUCUCAAAUAGGGAGUGAUCUUCCCUUAUUUCGCCCUUCUUAGGAAACUCAUCCUCUAAGAAUGUGACAUCCCGUGAUUCAAAUUCAGUUAUACUCCCACUUUCCUACUCACCAAUGAACAUAUACCCUUUCGAGUGUUCCGAGUAUCUUAUGAAAAUACUCUUCUUUCCUCUGGGACCCAAUUUCCCAAACUUGUGAGAGGACUUAUGUGUAUAGGCAGCACAACCCCAUGGCUUAAGAAAACUUAAGUCCAGUUUUCUACCUGUCCAUAACUCAUAUGGAGUAGAAGUAACUGAUUUAGAAGGCACACGGUUAAGUAUAUAGGCAGCAGUUAACAACGCAUCAUUCCAAAAGGUAAUAGGUAAGUUAACAUGCGCCAUCAUGGACCUAACCAUUUCCAGUAGGGUUCUGUUUCUUCUCUCCGCAACACCAUUUUGUUGAGGAGUAUACGGAAUAGACAACUGUCUUUCUAUUCAUUUUUCAUCACAUAAUUUUAUGAAUUCAUCAGAUAAAUAUUCUCGACCUCGAUCGGAUCUCAAUGCUUUUAUUUUCUUAUCUAAUUGAUUCUCUACCAGGUUCAUAAACCUUUUGAAAGAACUUAUUGCUUCAGAUUUAUGAGAAAUCAAAUAGACAUAUUCGAAUCGAGUAUAAUCAUCAAUAAAUGUGAUGAAAUAAACAGCCCCAUGCCUUUCUCUCACAUUCAUUGGACCACAGACAUCAGAAUGGAUUAAAUGCAAAGGAAAUUCAGCUCUUUUACCUUUCCCAAAUGGUUUCCUUGUCGUUUUCCCUUAUAGGCAAUACUUACAUAUGGGCAAAUCGACUUUUUCAAUGUUGCCUAACAAGCCUUCUUUGGCUAGUCUAUUCAUACGUUGUUGGCCAAUGUGACCAAGUUUAGCAUGCCACACAUUCACAUCAUUAUCAUAGGUAUUAGGAGAUGUGAUAAGGGAAUAACAAACAUUUGCAUUAACAUACUCAACAUCUAAUACAAUGAAACCAUCCAGAAAAUAACCACAACUAUAGUAGUUUGUAUCCAAAUACAAAUCUACACCUCUAUUAUGGAAGUUCAUAUUAAAACCUAGUCUAACCAACACUAAAACAGACACUAAAUUCCGACGAAUCUCUGGAGCAUACAAUACAUCAUGUAGGAAUAAAGUGCGUCCACCACGCAUAUUCAGUUGGCAUGUGCCAAUUCCUUUCACUUCAGCUCGGGAGUUGUUUCCCACAUAGAUCCACUUAGUUCCAGUUGGUACUCGUCGGAAUUCCAUGAAGGAUCCUCUAUCCUUCGCUACAUGGUCUGUCACUCCUGAAUCUACAGUCCACAAAGGAUUAGACUCAGUCAAGAAUACAGAACUCGACACAAAAGUAAAGUUCUGAAAAGUACAAGGGGUGUUUACUUUCUUUGGCUCACGACAGUUGCGAGCAUAGUGACCCUUCUUGUCACAAUUGUAACACCUCACCCUUGACAUUUUCUUCACUUGAGGACAUUUUCCUCUCUUGUGUUGGUUAACUUUUGAUUUCUUGCAACAAGGACUUGAUCCUUUGCAAUCCCACAUAUUGAACGAAUCAAUACCCUUGCGCUUAGAGCUCAAAACUCUUUCUGAGCUAGAACGAGCAUUGUAAAUGUCUACUUUCGACUCAAAUGCCAUUAGGCGGUCCUCUACUAGCUCAAGGUGGCGCAUGUCAUCCUCAAGAUCUUCCAUAAUAUGGUCAAGAGCUUCUAGUGCUUCUUGCUUUUCCAGCACAUAUUGGACUUUCAUGUGCCAAAUUUCAUAGUUAUCACCAUUGAGCUUUUCACCUUUGUUCAGCUCGGCAACUAUGCUCUUUGUGGCUGAAGCCAUUGAUCUGAACACAUCAGACAUAUGCACGAAUUAUUAAUGCCUAUCAUUUAUGCAUCCUUUUUUACAUAGACCCAUCAUAUUAAUGAAUAAUUUCAAGUAAGGCUUCAGAAUCAAAAGGUCACUACAUUUCCAAUCAUCAUCCAAAAUCCUAACUUAAAACUAUCAUUAAUAUGAUCGUCAUAUGCAAAAUCAAUUCUAUGAAGCUACAAAAACUUCUAAAACUACCCACAGCUAAUUACCCACAGCAACCAGCAAUAACAGAAAGCAACAGAUAAUUGACAUACAAUUAAAAAAUAAUAAUGCUUUCAAUUAAUACAACUAUACAUUACCCUAAGCAAUAUAUACAAAGAAAAAUAUCAACAUAGAAAGAGAUAUUCAAUCAUAAAAACAUCUCAUAACUAAUCUAAGAAAUAAAUAGGGAAUGUCUCUUCUAAUCUAUCAUUCAGAAUAUCUAAGAAAUUUGAAGGCACAUUUGCCAACCAUGGAUAAACUUUUGGAGAGCUUUCAUGUCGCCUCCAAGGCGCAUUCACUCUGCGCCAUGUAGCGCUCAAUCUAAGGGUUGAAGUUUUGGCCAACUCAAUCCUAUAGUACUCUCUUACAAAAGCUUCCACUAGCCUUCUAUAACCCGGGACCACGUUGACCUCCCAUAGCCGAUCUAACACUACUUGCCAUUCAGCUGGAAGAGUGUUCAUCAGAGCCGGCACCUUCUCAAAAUCCGGCAUAAGAUAGCCAUUGCAAAUGAUUUCCUGUAUCAUCUGAUUGACCCUGACCACAUGUGAUACUAAAUCACUGUCAUGCCACCGAUAAUCAGCUAACUCUGUCAUCAGCCUUUUAAGUCUUGCAAUUCCCUCGUCCGUUCUCGGGAUUGCAGGCAUCCUUGCAUAACGCAUCAUAGUUCCUGCAACAAAUGCAGAACUAAAAAUGGAUUACUUAUAAUCCAUAAUAUACAAAAGGGAAAAUACAUAAUUUUCCAUAAUUCAUGCAACAAAUGCAGAAUAAAAAAAAAAUGGAUUACUUAUAACCCACAUAGGCAUGACUGAAAAAGAAACAAAAAUUUUUUUUUUUUCCGGCUCAACGGUGAAAGUCAACGGUUGUCGGUCAACGGUCAGUCAACGGUCAAGGGUGGUCAACGGUCGUCGGUCGAUCGGGCCGGUCGGGCCGGAGGGGCCGGCUCGGCCGAACCGACGGCACGUGCCGUGCGCGUGCGCGGGCUGACGUCACGCAGACGUCAGUUGGCACGUGCGACGCGUGUGCCGACGUCCUCGGGUUGGGUCGCCGGCCAGUGACCGCCCGGCGAAACGUUGUCGUGCUGACGUCACCCUAGCGGUUACUGACCGUUGGGUGACGUCAGCACGCAUCGGUCCGCGGACCGGCGCGUGCCGGUUUGCCGGCCGGCGGCGUGCACGCGCCGGUUCACCGACCGGGGCGUGUGCCACACGCGCUGGGCGAUCCAACGCUUCCGGGUGCGUCGCGCCCACGCGCAGUGCCUUCCGGCCGCGUGUGUGGGCGCGUGCGGCGUCGCCCGGCGGCGCUCGACGUAUCGCUAGACUCGUCUCGACGUCGCCUUUCUUCCUAUGCCAUCACAAUUUGAUUUCAACUUACGAAAACUCGGAAAAAUGGCCGAACAACGCUCGGGUGUCGGGAUUUCUCGCCCGAUCCGUACGGCCGAAUUGCUUUUGCGAAUAAUCAAUCAAAAAUCGUCAAACAAGUCGGGAAAACGUGAACUAGGACUAGGGCUCUGAUACCAAUGUUGGGAAUGACUGAUCCCUGAAAAACAGGAUUCGAUACCGAAUCGAACCCCUAAAUCAAUGCGGAAGACGAAGCCCGGGAAAUCACGUAUCACCGAUCGUAAAGCAUACCACGAAUUUGAGCGUACCUUGUUAGCCACAGAUUAAGCACCGACGCUGUCACGCCCCGAACCUCGAGCACGCGCACAUCCCACUGCGGUCGAUAGAAAUGCGACUUCCCAGGACACGUCGCCGACCCAUUCUUUUUAAUUACACAUGCGGAAGCGGAUAAAUAGUCCCCAGACAAAACUCAAUUGGGAUAGAAAAGCAGGAUCACAUUUUUAAAACCAACCACAUACUUUUUAUACAUAUCAAACCAGUUCAUUUACAGGACUAGGCUAUUUACAACAGAUCUAUAGAAGAUCAGUCCUCAAAAACUAGGCUGUCCUAAGAUCAGCUAGACAGGUCCAUUCGCCAGCUCUUCAGUCGGGAUCGGCGAAGUCAAAAAAAUCCUCUCAGCGACCCUCACUGGUCUACCAAAAAGCUCCGGAGGAUCCGCCAUCUAGGGACCUGAAAUAUUAUCCCACAACUGGGAUGAGACGAUGUCUCAGCGAGUCCUACCCUCUAAAACUCAAUUAGGAAGAAAAUAAGCCCCAGGGUGCUCUAGCCACACAGAGAAUAGAGGACUUACCUCGCCUCAGUCCUUCCUGCACGUCAGUGCAACUCAUACGUCGAUAAAUUCAUACUAUAUAUCAAUUCAUAUCAUCUAUCAAUUCAUACCAUCUAUUCAUCCAUUAAUAAAUCACGGCUCACACAAGCUGAUAUAGAUGGUAGCUCGCACAAGCUGAUAUAUGCAUAGAUGAUAGCUCACACAAGCUGAUGUAUGGAUCGAUGCUCUCACAAGCUGACAUAUAUAAACCAAUUGCUCGCCAAAGCGGAUAAUUCAAUAAUAAACCAACUCAUAUCUCAAUUCAAUCAAUCAAUCAAUCCAAUCGAUUCAAACUGGUCAUACAAAUCAAUUACGGUGCUAAAAGCUAACACCGGGUAUUUUCAAGUUAAAUACCACAACUUCAUCAAUUUCACACAAUUCCACACUUUUGGAAUUAUUAACCAUAAUCAUCAAUCACUUAAUUUCUCAAUUUAAACAUACAAUUAGCACAAACCGACCGCACUGCUGCGAUCAGCGCGAAAUUCUAACGACCGGCCAUCCCGGCAAAAUUUUCGAAAUUAUUAAAUAAUUAAAUUUAAUUCCGAAAAUUAAAUAAUUAAAUAUUAUAUUAUAAUAAUAUAAAAUAAUAAAAUAAUAUUUAAAAAUUCGAAAUAAUUAUUUAAUUAAAAAUAAUUAAUUAGGGCUUAAAUUAGAUUACACUAAUUUAAACAUACUAUUAGCCCUAAUUAAACAUCCCUUAAACUAAUCAUACAACUAAUCUAAUUUACAUUAAAAUAAUCUAAUCUAACCACCUAAACCUAAUUAAACUAAUCUAAACACCCCUUAAGCAUGAUUAACUUGCUAAGCAAGGUUUAGAGGAUAAACUCACCGGUUUUGCGGGCCGGUGAGUUCACGGCGACCACGACACCAAGGCGGUCGAUAAACCCCAAAGCGGCGACAACAACGAAGGCCGGGAAGGGCUUGAAAACGGGCCACGAAGUCUGGAACUUCUUGCUGUCUUCUGCUUCUGAUCUGGACUGAACUGCAGAGAAGAAACCAGCAACUUCAACGGCGAAAACGGGCUGAUCGGAGCUCCGGCGAGCGGGUGGCUGGCAACCGGUGGCUCCCGGGGGUCAAGGAAAUCUUAUUGGAGGUUGGUAUGGGUGGAGGUAGGGUAGAAAUGGGGAGAAAAUGGCUGAAAACCGCGAAACGGGCGGAACAGGAGGAACCAGGCGAGUCCAGACGGUCCGGCGAGCGGCGGCUUCGGGCGGCCGUACGGGACAGCCGGAGAAUCGUUCCGGCGAGCGGUGAGGUGCUCCGGAACGGGAUGGAUGUCUUCUUCGCGGUGAUGGGUGGCUCGUUCACUGAUUCAACCGGAAAGUUAACUUUUUACUCGGAUCUUUGGCGAAAGGUCGGCUGGAGCAGAAACUGGAACGAGGGGAAAACAAGGGGAAAAAGAGGUCCGGCGGGCAAGAGGAAGCUUCGGGCGGGUCCCAGGCGGUGCUGUGGCUGUCGAACGGCAAGCUAGACGGCCAGAGGACGCGGGACGAAGGCGAAGCAGCGGCUGGACUCGCGGUUGCAUGGGACUGGACGCGACGAGCAAGCUAGCUGCUCCGGUGGGCUCGCGGGGCUUCGGACCGCUGCUGGUCGCUCUCCACUGGUUUCUCAAGCUUUUUCCCUUCCUCAACCAUGGAGAAAGCUGCCGCACGAGGGAUUCAAGGAAGGAGAAGCUUCGGCUGAAGCAAGGGGCCCCCAAGAGCUCUUCUAGCUUCAACACUUGUCAAUCUCUCUCUCUCCUUGCCCCCACCAUGGCCGGCCCACCCUUCAGCCUCUUUCUCUCUCCUCUAGCUUCCCUACAAGCUAGUUAAUAGGUCCAAAAUGUGGUGUGCCAAGGGGAUUUCGAAUUUUGAACAUUUGUUCACUUAAUUCACUCAAUUGCCAAUUAAUUCCAUCCAAUUGAAGCUCAAUUAAAUCAACCCAUGUGUCCUCGGCCUUCUCAUGACAUUUCCCCAUCAAAUGAUCUAACUUGCAUCCCGAAGAUUCGAUUAAAAACGGCCCUCUGACAAUCCCGAACAAAAACGGCCUUACUUUGCUUUUCCGCCAAAAAUCUCGGUUUGUAGAAAAAAUCUUCCGGAGAUGAGUUGACGUUCCUAAAAUGAAUUGUGACAUGCCAGAACCUUCAAUUUCUGAAUCCGGGUUUAAAAUCACGGUUAAUUUCAAUCUGGCGCGAUUUGAGCGCGUCCUAAUCUACCGGGUAGCUUUUAGGAAAUUUUUAGUGCAAUUGACCGUGGUUGAUUAUUUUCAAGCCACGACAUAAAUCUUCGACACAUUAGCGACUUUCGAUUGUCGUGAAAAUCUCGAGGUUUCAAAUACGGACACAGGGUACCCAAAACGACAGAAUAAUCAGUUCAGUGCCGGUCGACGAGGAUAUUGAAAUCAGGUGGAAUCACCCACACUCUAAUUACAUAUCUCAGUCGAAUCGACCUAUUAUUGAUCUCUGUUCGAUUCUGACAGUGUCGUAAUGAUCCUUGCAGAUUUAUACGGUCGAGCAGUCGGUUCAUGGUCAGAUUCUCAAGCCUAUUGCAUUUAAAUUCCUUAACGGCUUCACCUGAUAAACUAGUUAUCUCGUGAGUGAUCAGCUCAGAGAAUUGAACUAUAAGCGCGUCGAUGAAAAGUCCGUCUCAUUUAAUUGAAAACAGAAUCAGAAAUUUGGGAUGUCACAGACGCCGAUAGAGGAAAAGAUUUGGCCCUAUUCGAUCCGAUGACGCCUUGAAGGGAAGAAGAACGUGCCUUAUACUUACUGUUUCUUCUUUUUGUUUUUGGAGAGAGAGAGAGCGCGCGGGAGAAGACGUACGUUCGUUUUCUAUUUCCAAAAAGCAUAUCAUCUCUCUCUCUCUCCUCCCUUUUAUACCUUCCCCCAUCCACGGGCCCUAUUCCCGUGGGCCGGGCCUUUUGGGCCCAGCAUGGGCGGAUGGGCCUUAAGCCCAUCACCAAUUAAAACCAUCACCCUGGAACUUAAGGUUGAUUCUUUAGGUAACUUUCCAUCGAAUCUCAAGCAAAGAGAUGUAUCUAGGUUAGUCAGCUGUUCAUCCAAAAAUAUCCCAGAGAGGCCAUGGGUGCGAUCCAUGGUUAUCAUGUUGGCAAAUGAAGAAGCGACAUUGCCACUGCCUAAACAGCCCGAUUUCUUCAUUGGAGGAAGUCCCACAAACUAGGUUGUGGCUUCACCAAGAGAGCUCUUGACAGAUAGCAUGGUUGCACAUCAUGCUGCUAGAAUGUCAAUAUACAUACCGUUCAUUGGAAUUGUUUGUCUCUAGGGAUGUAUUUAGGUAGGGCUAGAUUCAUCAUAUAGAGGGGGUGAAGAAGUGACAAUACGGAAUCAAAGCAAAAUUAAGAUGAUAUUGCUAUAGGACAACAUUUGAUAACACUGUGCAGUGCUUAGAUCUUGGCAAUAUGCAAUAAAUCUACCACAAAAUAUAUAUAGGAGUUUAAGGCAUAGAAAAUAUUGCACACAACAAAUUUAUAGUGGUUCGGCUUUAACAAGCCUACAUCUGCUCGCUUGCACUAACAACCUAUCGAUUGGAUUUCACUAUAAUCAAUCAAUCAUAGGUUACAAGGAUUGAGUAUUCACUACUCAAGCUCGUGUAAGAGAUUAUUCCUUCUCACACUUACGACUGUUGAGAAAACUCCUAUUAGGUUUUGAAGUUGACAAAACUUUCUUGUUCUUGUUCUUGUUCUUAUUCUGAAGAAUACUAGACUUUUGAGCUAUAUCGUAAACUUUUGUCAAAAUCUAUUUAUUACAUAAGUCUUUCCCACUCUGAUGUGAUUUAGAUUGAAACCAAGUCUAGAACAAAGAUAUAAUCAGACUCAAGAUUAUUGAUCUUAUGACAAGGAUUUAGUAUGAACGUUAUAGAGAUUUAUCCUUAAUAUCUAGCUUUCUGGUGAAGAAUCUCAUUUACCUUUUAUAUAUACAUUGAUGGAAUUAAUCAUGAAUUGAUGUCAAUUAAUGUGUAACUAAUAAUUUUAGAAAAAAAAGACGUCACCGAUGAGGCAUGCGGUUUGACAAUAUUCGCCAGCAUGACUUGACUAAUACAUAAGAAUAUAUACGUGCGUCCAUAUGUAUGUGUUUAUAUUAUAUAGUCAAUUCUAGCAUGAAAGCUAAGUUGCGCUGCCGUAUGAACGUGGCGAAAGAGGACCACACAAGGUGUCCAUCCAAAGUCCAAGAAAGGGAGGAAUAGAAAAGUCUAAAAUGGCGGAUCAUAAGUUGGGAUUUACACGACCGAGAUGAGCACAGAGGACUUAUCAAAUUCGAUUCCAGAGGAGGGAUCGCAUUGCCAGUCAACGUCCUAGUUCUUUCGCAUUUUAGGAAACUUAUCUAGGGGAUUUUGCAUCGAUUUGACUUGACCAAAUAUAGAAGACAAAAAAGACUCACGCGGGUGGUGAAUUCUUUUUCCACUUUAAAAUUGUUCAGAUCUCGUCAUACGAAGCUUUUCUUCACGCAAUCGAAUCGUCGAAUUAUAUAUUUGUUGUAGUGGAAUCCCACCGCAUGAAGUACUUUGAAUUCGAGUAUCUAUUGGAAGAUCAUGUGGUAAAAUAAAUACAUAAUGUACUUCACCCUUCGUAGGUAGGAUUCUAGUCUAGUUGUAACUCACAACUUGAUGUGGUCCUAAAAUUGAUUUUUUUUGUUUGUUUGUUUGGAUAGUCCUAAGAUUAGUUGACAUUGAUUUUAGGUGCUUUCGCUCUUAGCGUUUGAGCAUAUUACAUGGUGAAUAAUUCUUUUUUAUUGAUGCAAUUCGGUCAUCCUAUGAAAACUUAAUAAAUAUUCUAGCGUAAUAAUUAAUUAUCACGUUGGGCAUUUUCAGCAGCACGUAUAUUCUAAAAAGUCAAAGCAAAAGAGUUGUCGAUAAGGAUCACCUAUCCUUAUCAAUUGUCACGACAACAAUAGGGGUAAUGACCCUCACCAAACUUAGGCAAGUCAUGCAAGUUUGCCACAGAAUCCUGGAAACAAUGUUUAGCAAGGGUUGGCUCCUUGCUGCCGCUUGCGGGACGAGGAAAGGUGGCCUGCACGCGACAGCGAGGGUUCUUGGACCCUCCUCAAUGGUUGAGGGUGCUCGUCCCGCCUAGCCUUCCCCCUCAUCUCUCUCCAACCUUUUUUCCUGAUGAUUUUUUUUUUUUUUGUUUAUGUAUCGUUAUUGCACAUCAACAAUUAGCCCGGGGAAUGCGCGGGUCCUAAGUUGAACGUGAAUUGUUGCGUCGAUGUUUUCGUCAAACGGGAGAACUAACAAAAAAACAAUAAAUAGGGAAGUCGCUAUUUCCAUCCCAUUCAUUCAUUGCCCACUGAAAAAAGGAAUUCCCCUCUAAUUGGCUAUCUUGUCUCCCAAACCUUUGUUGGACAUCUUAUCUGGCGAUGUGGACGGAUUCACUUUUGAGUUAAUGCAAUUUCCCUUUUACAAAAAAAAAAAAAAGAGGCCGAAAUAUCUUUUAAAUUAAAAAAAAAAUCAAUUUUUGGGCACUUAAUAAGAAACCGUUUGAGGUAAGCGUGCCAUUUUCCACGUACUAUUAUUUUUUUAAUUAAUACUUUGGAAAUCGACAUAUUAAAAUAUUGACUAUAAUCAACAAGGGCCACUAUCCAAUUCACAAGACCUAGUGGUCUUAGGCUUAGGGUCGGUCUAGAUUCACUCGUGAUUUGGAACCUAUUCUAUUGGAACCAAUUUGCUUAUUGUUGGAACUUGAAACUAACCAUGUCAAUCAGCUCCCAGGUUUAGGAUUGAUUUUGGGGUCUAUCGAGGAAUCAACCAAUUUCUUUUUUCUCUUUUUAAUUAUUUUUCCUUUUGUUUGUUUCAUUUUUAGUUAAGCAAAAUGAAAAUGAACACAAUAACAAAAAUCCAAUAAUUCAUAAAAGAUAAACAAAUAGAAUAAAAUAAACAAUAAAAGUUGUAAAACACGUAAACACGGUUUACCAGUUUCUAGUUCCCAGUUUGGUUUUUCGGUUCGUUCCUUAACUAGGAAUUGAGAAUCGAAACUUAUGAGGGGAAGUCGAAUUUCAUAGAGUCACCUACACUGAUCCCCCUGCCCUUUCUAACCGAUAAAGAAGAGCCGAAAAGACCGAAGCUCUUGUUCUUUUUAGUUUCAGUGUCCUUGCCUCUAUUAUCUCUCAAACGGUUGUUCUGUUCUGGAGAUAAAUAAUUGAAAUAUCAGAACCGGUUGUUCUGUCAUUUUUUGCUCGGUCACUGGUUGGCCGUCACGAAACAUUGUUUAGCUUUAAAGUAAUUAAGUCCUCGAUAGGAGAAAUAUGCAACAUAAAGCGGGAAACAUGAAUUAUUAUCGGAGGUGAGUAGUCAAUUGCCAUGGUCCAUGGAAAUCAAUUAUAUAUACAAACAUCGAAGUUUCCAAGCUGACCCGGUUUCUGCUUACAAGGAUCGGUUAGAAUAGGUUAUUCUCCUGUUUAGUCCCGGCCACCUAAGCCAUGGGUUUCGACCGCAAUUCUUGAUUGUUUUAUAAUGCUGCUAAACUUGCUUUUUUUUUUUUUUACCACCAAUGAGCUUUAUCAGUUUUUCUUUCUGCAGGCAUUUCUUUGUAAUCCUUCACAUUUCAUCCAUGCGAUUGCUGGCUUAAGUUUGCGGAAUUGAUCCUCUAGCAAAAUAGUAGUUGGGAAUGGGAACUGAAGAACCGAAAGACCCUUUGAAGGGGAUGGACUGGAAAGCCAUCGGCAGUGACCUACAGAAGGAUCCUUCUGCUAAACCAAUUGUAAAGAAGCGAUCGCCAAGAAAGAUUAAGCAAAUACCGGACUAUUAUUUUCUUUCUUGAAGAUCUUUGGCCUCAACUAUUGCCUUUUAUGGGGCAUGCAUUGCUGGUGGAAUUGGUGCUGGAAUGCUGUUGGAGAUCUGGAUAAACAAGAAAAUCAAAGGUGAGUGAUAUUUCAUUGAUUUCUUCGUUUGUCUCACAGAUGCUCAGAUCAGACAAUCGUGGUCCUAAUUUCCAUAAUUUCAUUGAAAAUAAUAAUUUCACCUACUAAGGAACAUAUCCUGCCACGAUGUGGAAUCUAGCCUGGAGCCUUUUUCUGUCAAAUGACCUCAUCUCUUUGCACUUGAUGUAUGGAACAUAGCUGGUUUACUCUUGAAUGAUUUAAGUCUUAAACAGGAAGAAUACAUGGGAGGCAAAGCUGAAAAUGGACAGUGAUAAGGACUUGCUUUCUUUUUGAUGCAUUGCAUAAGAAUAUGCAUCACUAGAAUUGAGAAUUUCCAAGACUUUGCGGUUCUUUUAGAAUACAUAGUGUCGGUACGAUUCUCGUCAGGCAGAUCUCCGGCCUUCGCAUGCUUGAAGUGCUCUCGGCCGUCAAAUGUUAACAACUUUCUAUGGACAUGUACUUGUGUACUUCAUAUUAUGUUUUAAUCUAUACAGCAAAUUCGUCAUGCCAUUUGCACAAUGGAAUAAUUGCUUUAUUACUUCCACAUUGCAGAGGAUGGAGGCAUGAUUUGGGAGUUCAACAAGUAGAGGCAGUGUGGCGUGCUUGCUUGGCAAAUUAAUCAACACGGUUGAGAUCAUGCAUGAAGUGUAAAGUGGUUUUACCUCCCGUGAAGCUGAUCAUGUGGAGUGUACAUGGAUUCAUGGGAUAUGGGUUUCUUCUGAGUAAUAAAGUUCAAUAACAGGAUCGUGAGAUCCACCAAAGAAGUUGGUACUUUAUGCAGACCAAGUUAUUAUGGACUGCAUUCAUUUUCAAUUCAGUAUUUUUUUUGCCAAUCAUCGUAACACCUCGAGUAUGACAACAUGGAGGGAUUGCGAAAUGAUACCUGAGACGAAACACGGUGCAAGAAAUCUCCACUUAAGUACUCAUCUUAGGAGUUUCACCCUUGUGCUUAGGCACGAGUAGUCACUAACAUGGCUGUAAUAGUGUGAUGUCUUGAGAUUGGUGAAACAUAUAUAUAGCACCUUCUCGUUUCACCCUUGUGCUUAGGCACGAGUAGGCACGAAUAGUCUACUUAUCAAGUAUGGAACCUUGGUCUAUCUGACUAUAUUCUGUUGAGGUUAUCUCAGACUUUGGCGGUCGGUUUAUAAAUGUAAGAGAAACUCUCUCCUGUAUGAUUGUUGGGUCUUGACUUGUUUGUUACCUAAGAGAUACGGGUUGUUGCUACUCUAACAUGAUGGGAAGAUGGAUCUCAAGCAUGAAUAUCAAGGACGAGAUGGUUGUUGGGUCUUGACUUGUUGGUUACCUAAGAGAUACGGGUUGUUGCUACUCUAACAUGACGGGAAGAUGGAUCUCAAUCAUGAAUAUCAAGGACAAGAAGAAGAAAUUAUGGUCGUCAUUGAAAGACUGUGAAUAAGGCGUUAAAAAAUUUCAACAUGGAUAAGGCAAAACUGAUCACAACUCCUCUAAUAAGCCACUUCAAACUUUUCAAGGAUAUGUGUUAGAAUACUCAAAGAUGAGAUGGUGGUAGUCAAAUAUGCAUCCACAUUGGAAAGUUUGAUGUAUAUCAUGAUGAGCAUAGGACCAAACAUUACAUGAGAGUGGGAGUUGUGAGUUGAUAUUUGCAAAACCAGGCAAAGAGCAUUGGAGUGCACUACAAUAGAUAUUAAGAUAUCUAAGGCAUACCCUCUCACAAACAAACGUUGCUGCCAAUUCAAUGGAAGUCUAGUCUCCUUCAACAUAGUCAUCACUUAGCAAGUAUGCAAUUCAGUGGAAACAGAGAGACAUUUAAUGGACAUUAACAAGUCAUGAAGAAAGAGCCUUCUGUAAUGGAGAUUUCUCUCACCAAAUCAGAAAAAUUGUGAGAAAUCAACCAUCUCUUAAGCAUCAGCCAUCAACACUUUUACAAACAAAACAAAAGUGUACACACAACUGCAUUUUGCAGAGACAAAAGAGGCUAGAGAAAAGCACAAAUGCACCUACUGUGAAGAUCGGCCAGGAUGAACAGGUGCCCCGAGAGUCCAGCAAAAUUCUCCUCUGUAAAUGCGAGUAAUACAUCGUCUGAGCUACUCCACAACACCUCACAGGCACGUUUUUCGGUGAUUACAUCUUCGAAAUCAGACACAAAAAAAAUCGAUUAGCAGACCUAAUCAGUAUUCUCAAGACUGCAAACAAUUUUUUUUUUUUUUUUUUGGUAAAGGACUGCAAACAAAUUUUGGUGUCUCCUAAAAUUGAUAAAUAAAAUCCUUGCCAAAUCUCUAUGUAAGGAAAAAAAUUGGCAGGGUACCUACCAAGGGCUAGCUAAGUAUGUACAUUGUUCUUAUAUCCACAGGAAUGACGACCCUUGCCCAUAAUUCUCCGGGCACCGGCAAUGUUACUAAUCAAGUAGCUAGCAAAAUUUACUGCUGCACUAAGCUCCAUUAACUUCGAACAGAGUGUCUUAGUCAAGUACGAUAAUCUGCUGUCAUCCUUUCACUCAUUAAUUGUAGAUCCUGAGCCUGUUCACGUGUUAGUACUGUGUAAAGUGGCGACGGUCCAUUAGUAGAGUGCUCGUGGAAGCUAUUUAAAUUGCCAGGCAAACUGAUUUUUAUUAUUGUCAAAGUUAACUCUUGGUAUGGUCAUUGACUUUGGGUCAUCAUUUAGAGGAUCGAAAAUGACCAUGAAAUUCCCAAAUGCUAAAUCAGGCUUCAGGAACAGAUCCACCAGCAAAUCGCUGCUUGCCCCGAUAUUUCUCUGCACAAACUUUCUUGGAGUGGUUUCCCAAUCCUUGGCAGCAUGAGAAAUGUGUGAAGCUUCUUUCAAGCCACUCAAGAAGGCACCAUGCAUGCUGGCUGGGUAUUGCCCACUUGUGGCUUCCCCGGCCAAAAAAGGGUUGGUUCCCCACGCUCUCUCCAAGUACGUCAUAAUCUCUACCAAACGAGUUCACCCUUACAAGGGAAUAUGAACCAUAAGAAAGAGGAUCGCUUCCCCAUCUUGUACAUAUAGAUUGUAUAACCUCUAUGCAUGGCAAUCAACCUACGUAACAUAAAAAGGAAGGCAAUUUACUUGCCUGAGGUCCUAGGUGAGUGUUGUCGUGGUUUGGUGAGGUCUCCGAAGUCCGAGGUUGCGGCUGACAUUGUGUGUAUCUGACAUUGAACGAGUGAAAGAAAGAAUGACAAUUCAUGGUUGAAUCUGCAUACAAAACCACAUCAAAAUCAAAUGGUUAUGACGACAAAGUAAGAGUUGAAGCUCCAAUUUCACUUCUGGGUGAAAAAACUAGAGAUACUUGCCCUUCUUUGUCAUGAGCCUAUUAAGUUUACAUCAAAUGUCGAAUCUACACAAGAUGCAGUUGCGGAAAAUCUCCUCUCUAGUCUUCUUAUGAAUCUGACCUUUGUUUAAAAACUCGAGGUUGGACGAUCAUUUUUAAUGGUAAAGGUUUUGAUGAAUUCAACUGCGAAGUACAUUUGAUCAGUAGCUAAUUACUAUAUCUAUCAGACGAUUUCUUUUGGGGAUCAUGUUAUUCAAGUGAUUAACCAAACAAGAAAGAGAUCCUAGAAUAGGAAGGUUUUAGAUUUCACUACUGCGAUAAGUCACCAAUCUACUAACUAUCCCAUCAAAUAAGUCGAAGAUUCGUUAAACUACGAAAUCUUAUUUUGCCGUGAUGUGAUAUAUUUCCGAUGUGAAUAAAGUACCAAAUGAAUGAUUAAGUAUUCCUUUAGUUGUUGAGACAUAUCAUUCUGUAUGAAAGAUGGCCAAUGGGUUCAAGGCAUAACAUUGGUAAUGCUAUGUAUGCUUUUGUUUACCAAGGGUUUGAAUCCCUCUCUUUACGCACCUUGAAGUAAUUUACCAUUGAUGCUAAUCACAAUGUAUCAAAGAAAAGCACAUACCCUAAUUCCAAAAGUUAAAACUUUCUUUGAUAUGUAUUCUCUAUUUCCAAGUCCCCACUCGAAAAUUCUGAUUGGAGGGAAUAAAAUAACCUGGUGAGAUUUAAUUUUCCUUAAAUUGGCCCAGUAUGGGUUAGUAAAAACUUAUGAAUAAAAUCUUAUGUUCAUGAUUGACCGGGGAAACAAUUUACGAUCAAUAGGGCUCCAGUGAACCAUAGUCAAGCAUAAGUGUCAUCUUGCAAGAGAAAAAUUCCGCAUUCCCAUAGUUAUAUGUUAAUUCAUAUCGUGAGAACAUUUAGCAUUUUACCCAUGGCGAGAGUCGUGAUUAUUGUACUUUCCUAUAAUAGAUGCAAAUCAAGCAAUCAUGAGAUAAUUAGUUUUUCUUUUUUAUGCAUCUCGAGUAAUUUUUCAUAUAGAAAAAAACAAAGAAGUAAAUUUAAAUGCAAAUUUCGUCCUUUCGAGGAUUAGUAAUUCUGGUCAAUGAUUUGGGAACACCGGAUGGUUUUUUUAUGGAAUCAAUAUUCGGAAAUUUUGAACGCAAAUAAAAUUUUUCUGUUUUUUUUUUGUGUGUGCGUGUUUGGUGCUCUUUCUUUUCGGGGGCAGGGGGGGUGAUUUACAUAAUCCAACGAUGGUCUAUGCUCGUUUGAAAACGAACGGUGCAGAUAUGCCGAGCACGACAAUCGAGGGGCACUAUCAAUUUCUAGGGUUUUUUUAUACAUAUUAUAAAUUCGAACUACCAAACGUAGCGUGUAAGCCAUCGUGGUUUCUUCCUCCUCUCAUCUUGUCUCUUCCUUAUUUCCUCUCGCCGUAUCCCACCUCUCCAAAUUUCCAUGUGAACGAGAUCGAGAUCGAGGGAGAAGAACUCGAGCGGGCAGUUGAAGCCGGGCCAUGGAAAUUUUGCUGUAACCGGAGUCGAGGGCGUGUGAUCAGGGGCUGAAGUAUCGACGCCAGAGAUUAGCAACUGGACCGGAACUUCAGUCCUCCUCAUUGUACGUUGUCUUUCGGCCUCGUUAUGCAAUUGCAUGCCUGUCCGAAUUUUCUGUUGCAACUCGUGACGCUCUAUUAUAGGAUUUUUCUACUUAAAUUUCCAGAUCUUUUAUAUCUGUAAGAAACAUAAGACACUUAAAUCGUUUAAUCGGCCAAAUAUGGAACAGAAAAAAAGCAAUAAUAAUGUCUGGUCUUGUGUCUGGAGCUUUUUCCCGGAAGGCGUUCUCUAUCAAAUAAGAUAAUUAAUGUUCCCGUUGAGCAAAGAGCGAAGAUUUUUAUUGGUUUAUCAACGCCAAGUUACAUAAUUGGCUUGACUGAUGGCUUCCACUUCAAUCAUUCUCAACUCCAACUGAGGUCGAAAGCCUUUGGUCAAGCCAAGCCAUACUAGAUGCGGGCAAACUUGAUAGUUUACCGUCCAUCGUUACAAUUGAUUGGCAUUAAUAGUAAUCAAGCAAAUUGAAGAACUUGAGGGUGCAGCUGAGCCGGGGCCACGAAAUAAUGUUGAGAGAGAAUCUUAGAUGUAGCAGCAAAUUGGACAAUUACGUUGGGUUUUGGUGAGCUUGACUCAAAAUUUCACUCUUCAUGCUCACUUCACCAAAUCUUUUUUCCUUACAAAUCUCCAAUUCCGUGUCCCAUUUUUUCAUUAUGAAUCUAUGAUUUCACAUAUAGGUUCAUAUAGGCUGAAAUUUUGAGUUGGUAGAACAAUUUGCUGCAUCCGAGUCAUUCACAGAAAAACUAAGCCGGGCUUGUGUAUAAGAAGCAAACGACAGAACAAUAGCUUUUAAUCUGAAGAGCAAAAUUUGAGGAUUGUUUCCUGUCUUUUCAAAAGAAGUUCCCAGGGUCUUGCUUGUUGGUACCCAGUCACUUGAAACAUAUCUGUUCACUCUUCUGUGGGUUACAGGCGAAAUGCCGAGUGCGACAUUUAAAUUAUGGGAGCUUGUUUGGUUUCUGCCUAAUAAAUUGUUGUUGAUUUGUCUGACAUGCCAUGCCCACUGAAUAACCCAAUGCAGAGGAUUUGUCUAACAUGCCACGCCCACUGAAUGCAGAAGAGGAAGAACCCAAUACAGAGGUUCCCCAAGGUAUGUGAAUCUCCCAAUUCCCCUUUUGUAAAAGCUCGUGCAGGAUGCUUAAUUUGUCUUCUAAUCUUCACCUAAUAAUAGGGGUAUAGGCAGGACCUCAGAUUUCUGAUAGUUAUAGAAAAACACAAAAUAAACAUGAACUAAUAGGAAGAGAGGAGCUUAAGAGUCGGUCAUUGACGAUUAAUAGAUCUUUGAAAAUGGUCAGAACAAUACUCCUUAAGUAUGAAAUUUAAAUUUUGAGAAGCAAUGGCUCUCUAUCCCCUCAGAUCACCUACAUAAAGAGCAUUUGCUUUUUUAAAACAGAAGCAAAUUAUGGUUUUCAAUCUGAAGAGCCCAGUUUGAAAUCUGUCUCGCGUGUAUUUUAUAUAAGAAAGCCUCCAUCCGUUUACCCUUUCGUGGGAUGCAGGAGAAAUGCCGAGAGCAUUGGAUCCACUUCCAGUUGUUGAGGUUCUGCCUAAUAACAAGCGGAAGUGUAACUUCUGCGGGAAUGAGUACGUUGGAGACACGAAGAGGAUCAAGGCGCAGUUUGCUGGGGUAGGAGGAUGUGGAAUUCUUGGCUGUAAGGUCUUCAAUGACCGAGUGAGAUCAGAAGCACCAGAGGUGCUGAAGGGUGAAAGAGCAGUGGAAUCGAGCAAGAGACAAGGCAAUGAUGAAGGUUCAUCCAACCUUACACAGAGUUCGCAUCAGCCCUUGACUGCGGGCAGUGAAGUUGCUCGGUGUAAGACUUCAUUUGUUGCCAUGCCGUACCUGAGCUAUGGUGCAGGUUCGUCAACCUUUCUUCCAUGGGCUGAGACGAAUUUUCCCAAUCAGUCUGUUGCUGCUUUAACCAACAUACCACGCCCGCUGAAUGCCAAAGAAGGAGAACUCAAUACAGAGGUUCCACAUGGUAUGUGUGCAUCUCUAAAUUUCAUCUCUAAAUUUGGCAUACGUUGAAGCUUGUGCAGGCUGCCUUAUUUGUCUUCUAAUCUUCACCUAAGAAAAGUGAUACAGGUAUAGAGAAACUGAAAAUGGUCAGGAAUUAAUCGGACAAGAGGAGUUUUAGAGUCGGUCAUUGAUAAUCACUAGAUCUUUGAAAACGAAAAGACAAAUGUUUUGAAGUGUGGCAUUCAAAUCUUGAAAAGCCAUGGCUCUCCCUGUCCCCUCCGAUCUUCUACAUGAGCAUUGGCUUAUAUGGUUAAAUUAUUUAUGAAAGAUAAUUCCCAUGACUUUUAAUUCUAAAUCAAUUCUUUUCUAAUGAAGAGCUCAUGAUAUGGAGUCGCCAGUAUUUCACUAUCGUGACAUCAAUGCCUACAAUACAUAUUAAUUAUUGUAUCGAAUGUUGCAUGUAAUAUUUUAGUUCGAAAAAGUGAAUACAAAGUUACAAUUUUUUAUUUCCAUGAGUGUAACAUACCUAUAAAAUAUAUCUAAGGAGUACCCAAUAGUGAAUUUUCACUUAUAAUUGUGUUUAGGUGCGAGACCGCAUCUUGGACUGGUUAAGAGUCAACGAGGUACCCGUGGGCUUGCCGACGCGAAUAUGAUGUCUCUCAAAAGAAAGCUGGAAGAACUCAUCAGCAGUCGCCAAGCGGACAUGAACGAGCUGAAGUCGAAGUGGACGAGGACAGAAGAAGAAUAUUGGAGUGUGGUUCGGGCAAUCAGAGAAGGAAUAACUUUUCCACCGGAGAAAGUAGCAGAGGUGGAAGGGCUGUGCAAAGAAGUUGAACAGAUUCUUCUAGUUCCAGGAAGAUUUCGGCAAGAGGCGACGGUUAGAUGUUGCAAAACAUCUCCCUCGGUGACAAUAGAAGAAUUAGUAGGCAAAGAAACUCUGCAGAAGGUGGAUGAGAUUGUUUCCUUUAUAAUGCUGAGCAAGGAUUUCGUAAUUGGUGUUUAUGGUAUGGGCGGCGUGGGCAAGACGGCCAUUUUGAGGAAUGUCUAUAAUAGACUCCUUGAGUAUCUUGCAUUGGAUGUAUUCUGGGUUGCUGUACCUCAGGAUUUUAGUGUUUAUGCGCUACAAGAAGCGAUUGCCAAUGCGGUCGGACUAGACAAUCUUUCAAAUGAGAAGGAUGUGAAAAGAAGGGCGGGCCUAUUGUGUGGACAUCUGAAGGUGAAGAAGAGACCCGUCCUAAUUUUAGAUGGCCUUUGGAGGCACUUUGAAGUUAAGGAUGUGGGUAUUCCGGUUGGAAUGGGUAGACUAGGGUUGGUAGUGACAACUCAAUCACUAGAUGUGUGUCGUAUGAUGCUCUGUCAAAAGCAAAUGAAGAUAGAACUUCUCAAUAAGGAAGAUUCUUGGAGGUUAUUUUCAAGGACGCUUUGCUUUGCGGUAGAACAAUCUCAGGAAGUUGAACAAAUUGCAAGAUCUCUUCUUGAUAGGUGUUAUGGUCUGCCACUUGGGAUCAUUGAGAUUGCAACUCGCAUGAGAGGAAUAGAGAAAGAAGAGCAUGCUUGGAGAUGGAUGUUGCAAAAUUUAGAAGACUUAACGAUGGAGCUUGACGUGUUCAAGAGACUGCAGCUCAGUUACUUGAACUUGGGUAAUGAACAAGUGCAACAGUGUUUCCUGCAUUUCAUCCUUUGUUUUGGAAAUUACCUUUCAGCAGAUGACAGAAAGUGUUGCAUAGAGUCUUUCAUAGAUGAGGGUUUGUUAGGUGGAAUUGCCACCAGGAUUAGACUGUACGAACGGGGUAACGAAAUAUUGGGUAAAAUAGAAGGGGCUGGCCUGUUGGAUUUUGAAAAAGGGCAUUGGUGUCUACACCCAUUGACAAGGGACAUGGCAUUGCAUAUGGUGCCGAGCACAACUCACAUGUUUAAGGCCAAUAUGGGUUUGAGAGAAAUACCGGAGGACGUAUUCUGGACCGAUCGUCUAGAGAAAGUCUUUUUACAUGGCAAUGAAAUAGAAGAAAUCCCAUAUGGCGUAUCACCAAAUUGCCCUAAAUUGACGAGGCUGUCUUUGCAUAGCAAUAUCUCCUUGGGAGUCAUCCAUGGAUCUUUCUUCAGACAUCUAAAGGGGCUGACGGUUCUAGAUCUCAGCUGGACUGGAAUCACGGAAUUACCAGACUCCAUCUCUGAGUUGGAGAGCUUGGAAGCACUGUUACUGCAAGGUUGUUCCUCAUUGCGUUUUAUUCCUUAUGUAGGAAAGUUGCGGUCCCUAAGAAAGUUGGACCUCAGUGAUUGUGAAAGUCUUGGAGAAGUGCCAGAGGGCAUGGAGAUGUUGGCAAACCUGAGGUACCUCGCCCUAGAUGGCUCAGAGAUCCACACAUUACCGGAGGGAGUGUUGGGGAAGCUGGUGAACUUGCAAUAUCUUGUGAUUAAAGAGCUAAGGGUGGGAGAAGAGGUAAAAUUACCGGAGGUGGAGGAACUUUAUUGUUCUGUUUCCGAUGUGGAAAUGUUCAAUGCAUGCGUGGGGUGUCUUGAGCGAAAUGGAUCCCCAUGCUACAGGCUUGUGAUGGGUGCACCAAGCAAUAGUGUCCUUUGGUGUGGGAGUGAGACAGAGAGGUCCUUACUCAUUGAUAGUUGCGACCAUAUCGCCGUGAGUGUAGAUGGAACAAGUGGUGAUGGCUGCGCUCUGCUUCCGGAAAGUGUGCAAUCAUUGGAAUUGUCCCGGUGUCAUAAAAUGAAGAGAGUGAUGGAACGGGAGUGGCUGACCGCUCACCUUCCAAAUCUGGAGGAGAUUAUAAUCAUUAGUUGUGAGAACUUAGAGGAAAUAAUACAUGGGCCAUUGCCAAGUGAGGCCACUUGUCGCCUUAAAUAUCUUGAAGUAAAUGGAUGCAACAACAUGAAGAGGGUGCUGCUGACGCAAGACAUGGUGCUCCAUCUCCCUUUCCUCGAAGAGAUAGUAGUCAAAGGCAGCAAGGGCAUAGAGUUGAUAAUGGGCACUGUUGCCAAAAUGACGUACUUCUCCUUCCCGAAGUUAAUGAAGCUGGUUCUAUGUAAUCUUCCGGAACUGAAGAGCAUAUGUGAUGGGAUCACGAGAUGCAAUUCCCUCCAGUGGGUUUCUAUAUACAAUUGUCCAAAACUGAAGAGGAUUCCUCUGCAGCUGCCCCUGCUUGACAAUGGGCUGCCUUCUCCUCCCCCUUCUCUUCGAGAGAUUCAGAUAAAUCGGCAGAUGUGGGAGUUGCUUGAGUGGGAUCAUCCCCUUGCCCGUUCUUCACUUGAACACUUCAUCAAGUUUCUUGGUAAGUAACCCGCAAAUUUUACUUAUUUUAUCCUUUCCAUCUCCCUUGGUCCCUUGUAAGGAUCUGUUCUCCCGCAGUACGGGAAGUUCAUUUUUUUUCCAAAACUUUUAUAGCAAGUGUUAUACCACAUAACUGCUUUGAAACUAGCAAUUAGGCCUGUGCUACACACUGAUAAUUGAAUUCUAUUACUGCUUGAAAGUGCAGCAGAGUAGACAUGUUAUUAUUAGACCUUAGCGAUGUUAAAAAGUUAUUUAGAAAAAAAAAAAAAGAUCUCCCUUAACUUUGAAUGAAUAACAAUGGCAAUUGUCCUUGCUCUCUGUUUUUUUUUUUUUUUUUUUUUUUGGGCCAAGGCACUGGUAUAUUUAGAAGAUGUUUCUCACGCCGAUUUAAAAAAAAAAAAAAAAGCCAUUCUGAGUAUACAAAAUUUGUGCAUAUGCUGAUAUGCAAAUCCCUCUUUCAUAAAUGAUCGGUUUUUGUGGUCACAAAAUGAUCACGACCAAAUGAUUAGUGGCUGCAGAGUUCUCAUACGAAAAAAUUGAAAUUUAUCGUGACAUCCUUGUUGGGAAGAUGCUAAAGCCUAGUAAAAGUAAAAUUUGAUUGGGAAGUUCUACUUUAUUGGUUGGGAUGGUUUAAGAGAGCAUGUUAAAUGCUUUGUACCUUUUCUUUUUGUUGUCUUUUCUGUUUUACCUCAUCCAGUACUUCUAUUUUCAAUUUCAAGUCUUCUGUUACUUUUUAAAUUGAUCACUAUUCUUCAUGAAUACUUUUGAUGGACUUUGUAUUUUCGAUUGCAUAUUUGAACUUUUUGAAUUCCUUUCUGUUAAAUUUGAUUAAGUUCGGUUGGCCUGAGGAGUCUCUAAUUUCUUUAGUUUGUUUAUGUUCUCUCUUUAAUUCGAUUAGGUUUUAUCAUUCAAAGAAGUCUCUAAUCCCUUCAAAUUGUUUUUGGAAUAGAAAAAGAAAUGAGGGGUUAGCUAUAUCUGAAACCUCGUGAAAUCUAUGAGGGCUGAUCUUUUGGAAGUGCAAAUAUUGGACAGAAAUAAGAUGGACGUAGGUGUCAAGAAGCGAAUUGGCCACAGUUCAAGUUUUUCUAAGCUCUCUCAAAAUGCACCACAAUCUGUAUAUAGAUUUCUCAUGCAGUCAUGCGGUAUGCAAUGAUAUUGGGUAUGAGUACGAGAAAGGUCCUGGGGGAUCAAUUGCUCGCCAACUAUAGAAAAACCCCUCUCCCACUCCCUUUCUCAACUGCUUUUAGGUCCUUUAGACCCACUUUGCGAGCGACUAACAAAAGAAUAUUUCUGGUUCCAGACUGAUGAAAGCCAUGGAGGAUCCUGUUGAGUAUGAAUUGUCUUCUGAUGGCAGUGGACAUCAACCUCAACGCCAUUGCUACAUCAAUGUGCUGGAUUUAUGUUUAAAGUACCUCCGAACUUUGUGAUGACAUAUGGUUAAUUUAUGCCUUAUUUUAUAAUCUAUGAUAACUACGUCUGGUUUCUGGAGUCUUGGGUUUGUAUUAUCCCUUAUUUCUACCUCGUGAAACAUUUAUCGGUCCCUCUUUUUUUCCCCCCCCCCCCCCCCAAGCUGACUCUUAAAGAAUUGAUGUGGAUAUGAAUUUGAUUGUCUACUACUUUAAAGUAUAAUCUACUGUGGGAGGUGCUCUUGGUUUGGAGCAGACUAGUGGCUAUUUCACUUGACGCGCUUUAAUGGCAUCCGCAAUGUUGACCAACUCAGGAAUCAUGUGAGCAGCCAGCUUGUGACUAAUGCUCUCGAGAAUGUUUUCAUGCAGAAACCCAUUCUCGUCCUCUUGUUUUAGCAGGGAAAUCCUAGCACUUAAAUUCAGAACACAGAGGAAGACGCCUGACGAUAUGAACUAAACACAGGGGCGUCUUGUCACGAUGAGGUUUGUACCUGUCUCUGGCUGAGGAAAAUAUCUAAUGGACCCUUAUAAGUUUAUGGACAGAUGGUAUCUAACCGCAAAUGUUUGAUCAAAAGACUUGACGUUUCCGAGCGCCCCCCUAGACCGGGCUUCAGUCAGUUGAGUCUUGAAUAUUUAGUGCAUGGUAGUGUUAACCAUUGGUGCGAUCUCCGCAUAUGCGUAUCUCCUGCGUGUGCAACAAAGGCAGAAGCAGACUGAGUCCUGCAGAAUGAUAACGAUUAAAAGUUCUCAUUUCUUCUGUUAUUGUGGCUGUGGUGAACACCAUGGUAACGGGGCAUUAGCUUGUGGAAUGAGAGCAUAGGGCCUGGUAAAUUGAUUUUGUUUCCUAGACAUAAUUUGUAUGUGCGACUUUCAUGCUUGAGACAAAAAAGGGGUGGAGCUAAAUUGACCAACAGAUCUUCCGGAGGAUGAACUGAGCGCUAUUCUAGAUCUUAAAUUUUCAGGCUUAGGUUGGCAAUGAGAAAGUUGUAGAAAGGACAAGUACUAUGGUGAGUGGUUCCAGGUUCCGGUUUGGUUCUGUUUGAAACCUGGAACCUACCCUUGGGUAACCUACCCUUGGGUACAGGUUCCUCAUUUUUUGGAACUUGUAACCUACCUGUCAGAAUUAAGAAUCUGGAAUCUAUUCUGUCACAGAUUCCGAGGUUGGUUCCAAGUUCCAACAGGUUCUUUUUUCUUUCUUUUUUCAUUUUUAGUUUUUAAAAACAAAAAUGAACGCAGCAAUAAUAAACAAUCUUAUACCUCUUAAUCCUCACUCUUUUUUUGAGCUUAUUCUUCAAAUCAUGAUUAACAUAGAAAAAUAGCUUGAACUCAUCAUAACGGUCCGACACCUUGACAAUCCUUCAAGGAGCAAUACUCCAAAAUUGUAGAUGUCUAAUUUUGUGUGGGUUUCCAAGUUUUCAUGACUUCAGGAGCCCGAUAACCUGCACUUCUAGUUCUAGGAGGCACUGUAGGAGAGCAGAUCAGAGGAGUCAGGCCAAACUCUAAGAUACAACCUUCAAGGUAUGCUACCAAACUCUAAGACACAACCUUCAAGGUAUGCUGCCAUGGAUAAACCUACCGCCUUUGGCCGAAUGGAUGUGAGUAAUGCCUUUAGCCACUCCUAUAGAAAUCUUCACCCGCAAUGCCCAGUCCAACGGUUGUCUCCCACCUUCUGCAAAUCAUUAUCAGAAGGUAACUGUCAAAAGUGCAGCAAAUAUGAGACAACCUACACUUCUUUCGACAAACCUUCCCCGUGUAUCCCACUUCACAGUUUUCUCUACUUUACGGACAAAAGUGCUGGUCUUCCCUCCAUUGCACAAAUCAGCCCCAUUCAAAACCAGAACAAGAAUAGCCCCAACAAUAGCCACUGAACAACAAGAUGAAGAUCCCAGAACAACCAUCUUGGUCGUAUUUUGAGAUACGGAAGAACCUACGUGACACAACCCCACAAAUUCCCUUCCCUCACUAUGUAUGUACUUGGAUCACAUAAGCAUGACACUCACAUCUCAGAAAUCGACCAAAUAAAGCAGCUAAAAUGUUAGAUUAGAUAUAACAGUUAAGAGCAGAAACAACAAGAGAUUAGACCUGCGAUUGAAGUUGGAGGAGGCGAGUUUCUUCAGUGUCGAGGGUGUCGGGCGGCGUCGAGGUGGCCAAGCGGGUGUCGAGGGUGUCGAGUAGCGUCGAGGGGCCGAGAGGUGUUGAGGGGGCCGAGUGGGUGUCGAGGGCAUUGAGGGGGCCGAGCGGGCGUCGAGCAGUGUUGAGGGGCCGAGAAGUGUCGAGUGAGUGUCAAGGGCGUCGAGGGGGCUGAGCAGACGUCGAGGGCAUUGAGCAGCGUUGAGGGCCGAGAGGCGGCAAGGGGUGGCGCGAUAGCUUGUCGAGCUCAACGGCGAGACGGCUCGUCGGACGAGCGGUGGGUGGUGGUGGUGAGUAGGGCGUGGGGUGGCGGUGUGGUGGUGGGUGAAGCAGCAGCUAGCAAGAGGAAGGAAGAAGAAGAAGAAGAGGAGGAGGAGAAGAAGGGGGGGUUUCCCUCGAGAGAGGGGGAAAGAGAGAGAGAGAGAGAGAGAAGAAAAAGUUGGGGGGGGGAGGAAGUGACGUGAGGAGGAAAAAGGGGAGAAAAGAAAGAGAGAGAGAGAGAAAAAAAAAGGGAAGGGGGGAAGAAUUGGCGGAAAGGAGGGGAAAUCACGUUGGGGAAAGUGGGGGGCUAGGUUUGUUUUUUUUAUAAUUCUGACCGGUUCCAGUUCCGGUUCCAGAUCCGGUUCCGGUUUCUAUGGGAACCGGAACUGGAACCGGGAACGCCGGUUCCAGAAAAAGGGAAUCGGGAACCGGAACCGGUCCCUUUAGAACUGGGAACCGAACCCGACCUUCCGGUUCGAUUAUCCGGUUCCCCAUUCUACCCAGGAACCAUGCUCACCCCUAACAAGUACAAAUAAGGAUACCUAGAAAGUCUGUAGCUUGUUUUGUAGAGGCUCACUGGUCUACUUCCGAACAGUUUAGAGACAUUAUUGUUCGAUAGUUGCUUAGCCACCAACACAUGCCUUCUAUGAUUUAGAGUAAAGUCUUAUGAAUGUGGAUUGCUUUUGGUAGACAGCAGUAAAAGGAAUAUAGGAGAUUUAAUCAAAGUCAUCACCAUUUUGGACAUUCAAGGAGCAGAAUAUAAUAGUAAUGUUGUAUGUCAGUUUCUUGGAUUUCGUGAAACCUGUGGGCAUUUAUUCGCAAGCUAUAGCUUCUGUUGCUGAUAUUGAGCUGAAGGGGACGGUAUUAAAUGUGAAUAUAGAAGACAGAACAGUUGACAAAAAUGUGAAAAUUUUGAAUUUGGGAGGGAAAUAACCUUGCUUACAAUUGAAAAUAGACUAGGCGGGAUUCAUUCAGGCAUAGCCCCUAUAUGGAGACUGCUAUACGAAUGACAUUGUUCUUUUUUUCUUGGAAAUCAUAGUAAUGAUCAUUCCAAACUUUUCAUUAUCCAAAGGCAACUUGAUCAGUGCACAUGAAGUUAGACAAAUGAGCAAGACGUCAAUACAUUCGCAGCAUUCAAUAUCAACAAAUCCAAUUGUGUGAAAGCACAUCAGGCAUUGGAUUUCGAGAAAUUAUAGAAUGGAGCAAUGGUAGGAUAUGUUCAACGACCUUGGAACCAUCUAGGUCAAACUGAAAUUGUAUACUUUAAUUGCCACGUAAGAAGAAAGUGGAUGUUAGUCGUAGAAUAAAAAUUACGCAAAAAUUCUUGCUCUGACUUUAGUUUCGUUUGGACCAGGAGAAAUUCUAAAUUAGUGACGCAUCACUCAUCUUAAUGUACGUGCCACUGUUAAUGGCAGUCUUCUUGAUCUUGCGGGAACUUGCAAGGUGGACUUCAUGUGACCCUUUUGCCUUUCAUGACCUGAAACAAAAAUGGAUUUAAUCGUGGGGAGCACAAAAGAUCAGUUGAAGUCUUCAAUCAUAUGUAAAAAAACUCCUUUUGCCACUUGCAUUUAUUGUUUUAUCAUCUUCGUGUCAUCGUUGGAUCCUCAUCUGGAGCUAGUAUUUUGAGUUCCGACUAGUCUAUGAAAGAUGGAGAGACGUUGGUCUCUUCAGGCCAAAGAUUUGAGCUUGGCUUCUUCUCUCCAGGAAGCUGCAAGAACAGAUACUUGGGCAUUGAAACAAGAUCACUCCUCAGACAGUUGUUUGGAUUGCUAAUAGAGACAACCAACGGAUUCAAAUGGUGUUAUGACAUUCAGCCAUGCAGGGAAUCUAGUUCUUCUUAGUGGAAAAAAGUCACUACAAAUUUCAUAACUUACGUAUGGUGCUCACAUGAACGUCAUAUUUUUUUUUCCCCAAUCAGUUGGAUACCAUAACUUUCAUACGGCGGUUAGUUGAUUGUCAUAUAUAUUUACUUAGUUGAGUACCAUAUACUUUUUAUUUGAUUAGUUGAGUGCCAUAUAAUUCUUCAAUGGAUCACUUCAUAACUAUUUAAAAACGUUCACCACGAGUGCCAUGCCAUGUCAAAUUUCUGGCAUUUGGGUCAAUACUUUUUAAAAGUUAUGGCGUUUAAAUGAGUAUUGUAUGGAAGUUAUGACAUUUGUGAUAAUCUUAUCCCUCUUCUCAACUAAUCAAAUGAUUUCAAUGGGUCUUCAAAUUCAGCUCACAUUCUGAUGGUGCCUAUUAUUGGCAAAACUUUGAGUACCCAUCUGAAAUGGUCUUAGUAGAUAUGGAAUUGGGGUCGAACUUGAGCUGGAUUUAAAUGGUAUCUGACCACCUGUAAAAGUGUGGAUGACCCUAUCCCUGGUCAUUGCCACUUCAGAUUAACCACUCAGGGAUUGCCACGAUUUGAAGUGUUGAACGAUGGGUUCAUCUGAACAUAUUGCGAUCGGGAGGUGGCGUGGGAUCCAGUUUGAUGGCGUCUCGAUGCCAGUGGAUCCCAUUGUAAGGCAAACGGUGGUUUACAACCAGACGGAUGCCUACGCCGCGUACCAUCAGCCAUCAAAUGAUGAAAUCCUCACCAGAACACCAAUGUAUGGAUCUGGUUUGGUGCAAUGUUUGUGCGGAAGAAGGGAAGCUUUAGUUAGUCUAUCAUGCAAUUGCUUUCUAUUGAUCCCAUGACGCCUAUGCACUGUGUGGUUUACAAUCGUUUCUGCAAAAGUUACGGACAUUUGAGAUGCGAGUGCUUGCAAGGUUUCCUCCCAGAGCUGCCAGAAGAGUGGCAAAUGCUUUAAUUGGGCCAGUGGCUUCUUGAGAAAGUUUCCCCCAAAUUGUUCUACAGGAGAAGCACUUUUCAAACUCUCUGAUUGUAAACUACCAGAUCUGAUCAACCAUUGGUUGGCCACUGGCAUGAGCCUUAAAGAAUGCAGGGUUCAAUGCACACCGAAUUGUUCCCGUACAGCUUGUGCUAAUCGAUAUAUAUUAGUUAUUGGAUCAAAAGCUAAGCUUUUGUGGGUGCUGAAUAACUACAUAUCAUGAGUGGCGCUUCUCAUUGCAUGGUAAGGGCGCUUUAACAUUAUCAUUGGAAUUGGUCUAGGUCUUUUUUGAAAGUGCUAGUAUUACUACCUAGAGGAUGGUGAAUAGGUAUAAAGACAAAUUUGGCCAAUAAAAGCAAUAAAAGUUAUUUUCUCAAACAAGAUCUUAUUAAUAUCAGACUUCUAAGUUCAAUUCAGACUCAAAUAAGAUAUUUUGGAAUUUAGCAGGACACAGAAAAAUAUCGUAGUAACCAAAUUAAAGGAGUUAAGGAAAGAGAAAAUUGAACACAUAAUUUAUAGUGGUUCGGCUUAGAUCAAGCCUACGUCCACUCUCCCACGUUGACAGCCUUCUAACUAGAUUUCAUUAUGGAAUCAAAAGAGAAUUAUGGUGAUUUGAGUACAAUCACUCAGUGAAGAGUUUGUUUCUCUCACUAAGUCACUCCUUUGUUUUUUUUUUUGGUAAAAUUAAGAAUGUCACUCCUUUGUGUUUAUCUCUCUUUUGAGUACAAUUGCAAGCACUAUUGGUGAAGAACAAGUAGUUGGAAAGGCUUCAAACUUUGGAAUUUUAAUUCUCACACGCUAUCUCAAAUGAACCGAAUGACCUCCUUAAAUACUCCUCCAUGCCUUUCUAAUUGUUGGUACUUUCAAGAGGAAUUUCUUCCAAUCAAUCUGUUGGACAGAAUCAAUUAAGGAAAUCUUGUAGCCGUUUGAAGAUUGAGGUAAAAAUCCGAUGAUCCUAGUUGCCCAUACAAUUAGAAUCUAGGUUUUCAUAAGUAGAUGCUUCUCAAAAAGGAACUUCUCUUCGAAAUUGAUUUCAUCAAUCCAUGAUUGCUUUCAUCAAUAUAUUUAGAAAAGAUAAGUGAGAUUCUCCGCCAGAAAGCCAAUUAUGUCUUGAUCAUACUGAAUUCUAGUUGGAAGAUCAAUAAGCUUGAGUAUGAAUAUGUCUUCAUUCUAGACUGGGUUAAGUCUGGAUGGGAAAGACUUUUGAUGUAAAAAGACUUUGAUAGCAUUCCUCGAUAUAACAUAGAAGUCCAAUAUUCCUCGGAACAAGAAUAAGAAUAAGAAUAGGAGAAGAAAGGUUUUGUCAACUUCAAAACCAAAUAGGAGUUUUCUCAACAAUCUUUACCUCCACGAAGAUUCAAAACCUCAAGUCAUUCACGGAGACCUUAAAAUCAGCAACGUCUUAUUGGAUGACAAUUUAAAUCCAAAAUUUUCUGACUUCAUUGACAAGAAUUGGAAGUGAAGAAACAAAAGCAAGAACUAGAAGGAUCAUCGGCACUUGGUAAGUGCUCAUCUCAUUUUGUGACCUCCAAAGUUCAUGAGUUCUGAAACAUCGGGAGAAUUGAGACAUGAUUUGCUUGAUGCAGUGGCUAUAGGUCCCUAAGACUAUGCCUUGGAUAAAAAAUUAUCGACGAAAUCCAAUGUACUAUGUAGUGCUCUUCUUGGAAAUGGAUAGUGGCAAAAGCAAUAGAGGAUUCUGCCAUUCAAGUCACCUUCACAACGUUCUCGGACAUGUAAUGCUAUUUCUUCUUAUACUUAAUUCCUUCUGAUGUUCAAAUCAUUACAGAUUCACAUAUUGGCUUCUAGUUGCUUAUUAUGUUCGGCGACCAACCACUCAGGUUGAUCCUUCCUAGGCAUGGUUGCUGUGGAAAGAGGGCACUGCCCUGGAACUUAAGGUUGAUUCUUUAGGUAACUUUCCAUCGAAUCUCAAGUAAAGAGAUGUAUCCAGGCCAGUCAGCUGUUCAUCCAAAAAUAUCCCAGAGAGGCCAUGGGUGCGAUCCAUGGUUAUCAUGUUGGCAAAUGAAGAAGCGACAUUGCCACUGCCUAAACAGCCUGAUUUCUUCAUUGGAGGAAGUCCCACAAACUGGGUUGUGGCUUCACCAAGAGAGCUCUUGACAGAUAGCAUGGUUGCACAUCAUGCUGGUAGAAUGUCAAUAUACAUACCGUUCAUUGGAAUUGUUUGUCUCUAGGGAUGUAUUUAGGUAGGGCCAGAUUUAUCACAUAAGGGGGGUGAAGAAGUGACAAUACGGAAUCAAAGCAAAAUUAAGAUGAUAUUGCUAUAGGACAACAUUUGAUAACACUGUGCAGUGCUUAGAUCUUGGCGAUAUGUAAUAAAUCUACCACAAAAUAUAUAUAUAGGAGUUUAAGGCAUAGAAAAUAUUGCACACAACAAAUUUAUAGUGGUUCGGCUUUAACAAGCCUACAUUUGCUCGCUUGCACUAACAACCUAUCGACUGGAUUUCACUAUAAUCAAUCAAUCAUAGGUUACAAGGAUUGAGUAUUCACUACUCAAGCUCGUGUAAGAGAUUAUUCCUUCUCACACUUACAACUGUUGAGAAAAAUCCUAUUAGGUUUUGAAGUUGACAAAACUUUCUUGUUCUUGUUCUUGUUCUUAUUCUGAAGAAUACUAGACUUUUGAGCUAUAUCGUAAACUUUUGUCAAAAUCUAUAUAUUACAUAAGUCUUUCCCACUCUGAUGUGAUUCAGAUUGAAACCAAGUCCAGAACAAAGAUAUAAUCAGACUCAAGAUUAUUGAUCUUAUGACAAGGAUUUAGUAUGAACGUUAUAGAGAUUUAUCCUUAAUAUCUAGCUUUCUGGUGAAGAAUCUCACUUACCUUUUAUAAAUACAUUGAUGGAAUUAAUCAUGAAUUGAUGUCAAUAUUAAUGUGUAACUAAUAAUUUUAGAAAAAAAAGACGUCACCGAUGAGGCAUGCGGUUUGACAAUAUUCGCCAGCAUGACUUGACUAAUACAUAAGAAUAUAUACGUGCGUCCAUAUGUAUGUGUUUAUAUUAUAUAGUCAAUUCUAGCAUGAAAGCUAAGUUGCGCUGCCGUAUGAACGUGGCGAAAGAGGACCACACAAGGUGUCCAUCCAAAGUCCAAGAAAGGGAGGAAUAGAAAAGUCUAAAAUGGCGGAUCAUAAGUUGGGAUUUACACGACCGAGAUGAGCACAGAGGACUUAUCAAAUUCGAUUCCAGAGGAGGGAUCGCAUUGCCAGUCAACGUCCUAGUUCUUUCGCAUUUUAGGAAACUUAUCUAGGGGAUUUUGCAUCGAUUUGACUUGACCAAAUAUAGAAGACAAAAAAGACUCACGCGGGUGGUGAAUUCUUUUUCCACUUUAAAAUUGUUCAGAUCUCGUCAUACGAAGCUUUUCUUCACGCAAUCGAAUCGUCGAAUUAUAUAUUUGUUGUAGUGGAAUCCCACCGCAUGAAGUACUUUGAAUUCGAGUAUCUAUUGGAAGAUCAUGUGGUAAAAUAAAUACAUAAUGUACUUCACCCUUCGUAGGUAGGAUUCUAGUCUAGUUGUAACUCACAACUUGAUGUGGUCCUAAAAUUGAUUUUUUUUGUUUGUUUGUUUGGAUAGUCCUAAGAUUAGUUGACAUUGAUUUUAGGUGCUUUCGCUCUUAGCGUUUGAGCAUAUUACAUGGUGAAUAAUUCUUUUUUAUUGAUGCAAUUCGGUCAUCCUAUGAAAACUUAAUAAAUAUUCUAGCGUAAUAAUUAAUUAUCACGUUGGGCAUUUUCAGCAGCACGUAUAUUCUAAAAAGUCAAAGCAAAAGAGUUGUCGAUAAGGAUCACCUAUCCUUAUCAAUUGUCACGACAACAAUAGGGGUAAUGACCCUCACCAAACUUAGGCAAGUCAUGCAAGUUUGCCACAGAAUCCUGGAAACAAUGUUUAGCAAGGGUUGGCUCCUUGCUGCCGCUUGCGGGACGAGGAAAGGUGGCCUGCACGCGACAGCGAGGGUUCUUGGACCCUCCUCAAUGGUUGAGGGUGCUCGUCCCGCCUAGCCUUCCCCCUCAUCUCUCUCCAACCUUUUUUCCUGAUGAUUUUUUUUUUUUUGUUUAUGUAUCGUUAUUGCACAUCAACAAUUAGCCCGGGGAAUGCGCGGGUCCUAAGUUGAACGUGAAUUGUUGCGUCGAUGUUUUCGUCAAACGGGAGAACUAACAAAAAAACAAUAAAUAGGGAAGUCGCUAUUUCCAUCCCAUUCAUUCAUUGCCCACUGAAAAAAGGAAUUCCCCUCUAAUUGGCUAUCUUGUCUCCCAAACCUUUGUUGGACAUCUUAUCUGGCGAUGUGGACGGAUUCACUUUUGAGUUAAUGCAAUUUCCCUUUUACAAAAAAAAAAAAAAGAGGCCGAAAUAUCUUUUAAAUUAAAAAAAAAAUCAAUUUUUGGGCACUUAAUAAGAAACCGUUUGAGGUAAGCGUGCCAUUUUCCACGUACUAUUAUUUUUUUAAUGAAUACUUUGGAAAUCGACAUAUUAAAAUAUUGAAUAUAAUCAAGAAGGGCCACUAUCCAAUUCACAAGACCUAGUGGUCUUAGGCUUAGGGUCGGUCUAGAUUCACUCGUGAUUUGGAACCUAUUCUAUUGGAACCAAUUUGCUUAUUGUUGGAACUUGAAACUAACCAUGUCAAUCAGCUCCCAGGUUUAGGAUUGAUUUUGGGGUCUAUCGAGGAAUCAACCAAUUUCUUUUUUCUCUUUUUAAUUAUUUUUCCUUUUGUUUGUUUCAUUUUUAGUUAAGCAAAAUGAAAAUGAACACAAUAACAAAAAUCCAAUAAUUCAUAAAAGAUAAACAAAUAGAAUAAAAUAAACAAUAAAAGUUGUAAAACACGUAAACACGGUUUACCAGUUUCUAGUUCCCAGUUUGGUUUUUCGGUUCGUUCCUUAACUAGGAAUUGAGAAUCGAACCUUACAGUAUUAACUCUAUUUUAAAAGAUAUCAAGAAUCAAAUUAGUAAUCACAAGAAUCUAAUCGGACUGAUAAAUUAUGGCCGGUUUGGUUUAAUUUCAGUUCUAUCUUGAACUUAUGCUCACCUAAUUCUAUUAUGUGUUAGCGGCUUAAACGCAGAAAGGGCAUCGAUCCUUCCUGCCAACAAUAAAUGGCGAAAAGAUACCCCUACUGUUCCGCGAAAUUAUAAAAUUACCAAUCAGAGGGAGCUCGCCGCCGCCGCCCCAGUUCUCUCGCAGCCGCAGUUCGCGAUUUCGUCGGAGUCCAGCGCUCGUCGCCGGCGGUCAAUUCGCCAUUUUACCACCAACGCCUCCUCCAUCACUCCAUCCUCCCAAGCUCUCUCUCUCUCUCUCUCUGCGCGCGCUGUUCAGGUGAUUUUCGUCUGGCGGACUCGGACCUUUUUCAAGCUUCGUUUCUUGCACACUUGUGAAGCUGGGAUUUUUACCGUGAAAUUGCGCGAAUUUUUCGUCUACUUGCGAACCUGGAAAUGCUGAGGUUCAGCUUUAACGUGGGUAAUCGUUAGUAAUCAACCUGGGGAUCUAAUUCGAGCUGAUUUUGCUGAAUAUAAUCAAAUUGAAUUAGUAAACGUGAGUGUUCUUCUGGGUUUUAACUAUUAUCUGCUCUUACAGUAUUUGCAGCGAACCUGUUGGUGAGAAUGUGCUGGUUGGCCAAUGCUUCAGACGCCAAUGUAAUGGCUGGCUGCAACCCAUGUAUAAUUUGGAUUUGCUGAUGAUCAUUUGGGUAAGAAUAAUGAAGGAUGUCAUGGUUUCUUUGGUCUCAAAACUGGGAUCUGUGCUUUGGAUAGUGAAUACUUCUCACAACAAAUGACUGGAAGACAUCAUUUUUCUUGUGAGGGGAAGUCGAAUUUCAUACCGCCUAGAAGGGUCGCCUACACUGAUCCCCCUGCCCUUUCUAACCGAUAAAGAAGAGCCGAAAAGACCGAAGCUCUUGUUCUUUUUAGUUUCAGUGUCCUUGCCUCUAUUAUCUCUCAAACGGUUGUUCUGUUCUGGAGAUAAAUAAUUGAAAUAUCAGAACCGGUUGUUCUGUCAUUUUUUGCUCGGUCACUGGUUGGCCGUCACGAAACAUUAUUUAGCUUUAAAGUAAUUAAGUCCUCGAUAGGAGAAAUAUGCAACAUAAAGCGGGAAACAUGAAUUAUUAUCGGAGGUGAGUAGUCAAUUGCCAUGGUCCAUGGAAAUCAAUUAUAUAUACAAACAUCCGAAGUUUCCAAGCUGACCCGGUUUCUGCUUACAAGGAUCGGUUAGAAUAGGUUAUUCUCCUGUUUAGUCCCGGCCACCUAAGCCAUGGGUUUCGACCGCAAUUCUUGAUUGUUUUAUAAUGCUGCUAAACUUGCUUUUUUUUUUUUUUACCACCAAUGAGCUUUAUCAGUUUUUCUUUCUGCAGGCAUUUCUUUGUAAUCCUUCACAUUUCAUCCAUGCGAUUGCUGGCUUAAGUUUGCGGAAUUGAUCCUCUAGCAAAAUAGUAGUUGGGAAUGGGAAUUGAAGAACCGAAAGACCCUUUGAAGGGGAUGGACUGGAAAGCCAUCGGCAGUGACCUACAGAAGGAUCCUUCUGCUAAACCAAUUGUAAAGAAGCGAUUGCCAAGAAAGAUUAAGCAAAUACCAGGCUAUUAUUUUCUUUCUUGAAGAUCUUUGGCCUGAACUAUUGCCUUUUAUGGGGCAUGCAUUGCUGGUGGAAUUGGUGCUGGAAUGCUGUUGGAGAUCUGGAUAAACAAGAAAAUCAAAGGUGAGUGAUAUUUCAUUGAUUUCUUCGUUUGUCUCACAGAUGCUCAGAUCAGACAAUCGUGGUUCUAAUUUCCAUAAUUUCAUUGAAAAUAAUAAUUUCACCUACUAAGGAACAUAUCCUGCCAUGAUGUGGAAUCUAGCCUGGAGCCUUUUUCUGUCAAAUGACCUCAUCUCUUCGCACUUGAUGUAUGGAACAUAGCUGGUUUACUCUUGAAUGAUUUAAGUCUUAAACAGGAAGAAUACAUGGGAGGCAAAGCUGAAAAUGGACAGUGAUAAGGACUUGCUGUUAGGGAAAUCCCUUAUGAUGUUUUGAAGAUGACAAAAUAAAUCAAAGGCUACUAACAUGUUUGAUGGUUGAGUAAUAGACCAUGCAGAUGAUAGAACAUGUAAAGGAUUUUAUCAAAGUCAGAAGACGACCAGAAGACUGAAUGUAACAUAUGUCCAGAGUAUAUUUUGAAGAUUUCCAGACUUCUGUGUCAAAGUCUGAAGACUGCCAGACUCAAGACUCAAAGUCUGAAAAUUGCCAGACUUUAGUGUCAAAGUCUGUUCUACAUCAGAAGUCUGUCAACUCUGACUAAUUCCAGACUGAACGUGAAUGAUGAACCAGAAGACAGACUCUAUGCUGAAGCUGAAUUGGGUACAGACCUUAAAGCUAAAUCUGUUUUGAAGCAGAUAUGUUCAGACCCAGAUUGUAAAGUCUACAGACUCAUAUUGUAAAGUCUACAGACUCAGACUUUACAUCCAGAUUCGAUGAAUCGUAACUCAAGCCCAAUCAUACAAUAGCUAGUGAUCUGGUUUGGAUUCCACAUCAAGAUUGAUUUGAUUGAUUCAAUCUAAUUGAUUGACGAUUGGAUCUUGAAGACAAGAACUUUCUACACGAAGAAGCUUUACUUAUGGAAACCAAGAUUUCGUUUGUAUGGGCGAUCGGAAUCAAUUUGGGAUUUUACCUUUGUCACUCAACGGCUACCAAAUCUUCUAGAUACAGAGCUAUCCAAUGGGUAUAUUGGAAGACGAUUCUCCGGGAUACUGUCCAACGGCUAGUUUGGAAGUGAAGGAGUAUUUAAGGAGAUGAAGGACCGAUGAGCAAGUAAGAGACGGAGCGUAGAAUUUAUAAUUCCAAAGUCUGAGCGACUUUCGAUCAUAUACUUGUCUCUUGAGAGCUUAAACGUUUGUAAUCGUGAGAGAAAUACCAAAAGAGUGACUUAGUGAGAUAGUGUGAUCUACUACUAAGUGUUUGCACUCGAAGUUGUAAUCUCUUAUUGAUUGCAUAGUGGAAUCAAGCCAAGAAGGCUGUUAGCGUGGGAGAGUGGACGUAGGCUUAGAUUAAGCCGAACCACUAUAAAUCUUGUGUUUUUAUUCUCUUCCCUAACUCCUUUAUUUUACUUGAAGUUUAUUUUAUUCCGCAUAUAUUUGCCAAGGUUUAUUUUAUACACCUAUUCACCCCCUCUAGGUGUUCAUACUAGCACUCUCACUUGCUUUCUUUUUGAUGCAUUGCAUAAGAAUAUGCAUCACUAGAAUUGAGAAUUUCCAAGACUUUGCAGUUCUUUUAGAAUACAUAGCGUCGGUACGAUUCUCAUCAGGCAGAUCUCCUACCUUCGCAUGCUCGAAGUACUCUCGGCCGUUAGAUGUUAACAACUUUCUAUGGACAUGUACUUGUGUACUUCAUAUUAUGUUUUAAUCUAUACAGCAAAUUCGUCAUGCCAUUUGCACAAUGGAAUAAUUGCUUUAUUACUUCCACAUUGCAGAGGAUGGAGGCAUGAUUUGGGAGUUCAACAAGUAGAGGCAGUGUGGCGUGCUUGCUUGGCAAAUUAAUCAACACGUUUGAGAUCAUGCAUGAAGUGUAAAGUGGUUUUACCUCACGUGAAGCUGAUCUUGUGGAGUGUCACGCCCCGAUCCUCCGAGCGCGCGAACAUCCCACUCUGGUCGAUAGAAAUGCGACUUCCUAGGACACGUCGCCGACCCAUUCAAUUUUAUUUACACAUGCGGAAGCGAAACAAAUCCCCUGACAACAUUUAACUUGGGAUAGAAAAGCAGGCAAUCAAUCACAACCAAACAAGCUUUCUAUAAACACAUAGGUUUAUAUACAACACUGGAUGGUCUACAAAAUAGAUAGGCUCAACAACUAGGGAACUGUCCUAUGACCAACUUGUCAGACACGUUCACCGAUUCUUCAGCCUCCACCUUCCGAACUCUAGGACUUCCGGUCCUCCACGACCGUCAUCUAGGGACCUGAAAUAUUAUCCCACAACCGGGAUGAGACUACGUCUCAGCGAGUCCUACCAUCUAAAACUCAAUUAGGAAGAAAAUAUGCCUCAAGGCGCCCUAGCCACACAAAUAGGAUGGAGGACUUACCUCUCCUUAGUCCCUUUCCUGCACGUCAGUACAAUUCAUAUUCAAACAAUGCUCGCACAAGCUGAAUCUACCGACAUACCCAUCGGUCUAUCAAUUCAGUCAAUCCAAUUGAUAUCAUACGAUCCACAUAUCUAUCAAUUCAUAUCAUCUAUAAACAAUACCAUCUAUUCAUCCAUCAAUACAAUUAUGGCUCGCACAAGCUGAAUUGGAUGCAAUGCUCUCACAAGCUGAUAUAGAUGGUAGCUCGCACAAGCUGAUAUAUGGAUCGUUGCUCUCACAAGCUGAUAAACGAUCAUUGCUCUCAUAAGCUGAUAAAUGAUCAUUGCUCUCACAAGCUGACAUACAGUGCUCACACAAGCUGACAAUGAUGCUCACACAAGGUGAUACAUAUAUAAACCAAUUGCUCGCCAAAGCUGAUAAUUCAAUAAUAAACCAACUCAUACCUCAAUUCAAUCGAUUCAAACUGGUCAUACAAACCAAUUACGGUGCUAAAAGCUAACACCGGGUAUUUUCAAGUUAAAUACCACAACUUCAUGAAUUUCACACAAUUCCACACUUUUGGAAUUAUUCACCAUAAUCAUCAAUCACUCAAUUUCUCAAUUUAAACAUACAAUUAACACAAACCGACCGCACUGCUGCGAUCAGCGCGAAAUUCUAACAACCGGCCAUCCCGGCAUAAUUUUUGAAAUUAUUAAAUAAUUAAAUUUAAUACCGAAAAUUAAAUAAUUAAAUAUUAUAUUAUAAUAAUAUAAAAUAAUAAAAUAAUAUUUAAAAAUUCGAAAUAAUUAUUUAAUUAAAAAUAAUUAAUUAGGGCUUAAAUAAGAUUACACUAAUUUAAUCAUACAAUUAGCCCUAAUUAAACAUCCAUUAAACUAAGCAUACAACUAAUCUAAUUUACAUUAAAAUAAUCUAAUUUAAUCACAUAAACCUAAUUAGACUAAUCUAAACACCCCUAAGCGUCAUUAACUCACUAAGCAAGAAUUAGAGGAUAAACUCACCCGAUUAACGAUCCGAACGGCUCAAAACGACAAGGAUGACGCGAGGGUCGAUAGUCUCCAAGGCGGGCCUAGCUUCCGGGGUCGGGAAGCCGGCCAAAACGGGCCAAAUAGCCGCUGUCAUACCCAUUUUUCUGCUCACUGAUCACUGCUGGUUGAGGCCGGGAAAGGGCGGAUCCGGGGCUGGUUGGGGUCGGGAAUGGGCGGAGGAGCUGAACCGGACCUAGGCGGGGCUUCACGGUGGUCGGAGGUGAGCUGGACGGCUCCGGCUGAGCUUCCCCAGAUCUGGAAUGGCUGCUGGAACAGAGGAGUCGGCGAGAUGGAGACUGAGACGGACGGAACAGCGGUGAGGCGACGGCGUGCAACGGUGGCGACUCCAGCUGCGGUGCACGGCGGUGAGGCCUCAACGGCGAGCUGGCUUCGUCGGUCUUCAACUUGCAGGGCGUCGAACAGCAAGGGGGCGGAGGAGAGAGGCAGAGAUGCGCGCGGGUAGGGUGACGGCGUCGCGGUGGCGCGCGGAGCCGAGCGGCGCUGCCGGCUGCUGUUCCGACUGCUGGCUACGACGGAAGAGGGAGCUGCUGAGGUCUUCUUCGACUUGCUGGGUUCUUCGCACAGCAAGAACACGAGGGGGAGAGAGGCAGCGACAGGAGAGAAGGGGAGGAAGAAGAAGACCGGUUCUCUCUCUCUCUCUCUCUCUCUCUCUCUCUCUCUCUCUCUCUCUCUCUCUCUCUUUCUCUUUCUCUUUCUCUCUCUCUUUGGCCCCACCAUGACCUCAUGGAUGAUGUCACACCCCACUAUCUCCCACAACCUUAAUCCAAUGGGUUCAAUUUCAUUUUCCGCCGUGGCAUAAAAUCUUGUACACUUAAUUCCAUCAAUUCUCAAUCAAUUCCAUCCAAUUGAAGCUCAAUUAAAUUAACCCAUGUGUCCUCGACCUUCUCAUGACAUUUCCCCAUCAAAUGAUCCAACUUGCAUCCCGAAGAUUCGAUUAAAAAUGGCCCUCUGACAAUCCCGAACAUAAACGGCAUUACUUUGCUUUUCCGCCAAAAAUCUCGGUUUGUAGAAAAAUCUUUUGAGAUGAGUCGACAUUCCUAAAGUGAAUUGUGACUUGACAGAAUUUCCAAUUUCAGUAAUUGGGUUCAAUUUCACGGUUAAAUUCAAUCUGGCGCGACUUUAGCGCGUCCUAAUCUACCGGGUAGCUUUUAGGAAUUUUCUGUGCAAUUGACCUGUGGUUGAUUAUUCUCAAGCCACAAAGUGCAUCUUCGACACAUUGACGACUCUUGGUUGUCAUAGAAAUCUUAAGGUUUCAAAUACGGACACAGGGUACCAAAACGACAGAGAAAUCGGUCUAGUGCCGAUCAACAAGAAUUAUGCAAUUAGGUGGAAUCACCCACACUAAAUUACAUGGUUCUGUUGAAUUGACCUAUCUCCGAUCUCUAAUCGGUCUGUGCCGUAAUGACCCUUGCAGAUUAGUACGGUCGAGCAGUCGGUUCCUGGUCGAAUUCUCAAGUCUAUUGCGUUUAGAUUCCUUAACGGCUUCACCUGAUAGACUAGUUAUCUCGUGAGUGAUCAGCUCAGAGAAGAAAGCUAUAGAUGCGAAGAUGAAAUGCCCGACUUAUUUAAUUGAAACCAGAAUUGGAAAAUUGGGAUGUCACAUGGAGUGUACAUGGAUUCAUGGGAUAUGGGUUUCUUCUGAGUAAUAAAAAUCAAUAACAGGAUCGUGAGAUCCACCAAAGAAGUCGGUACUUUAUGCAGACCAAGUUAUUAUGGAUUGCAUUCGUUCUCAAUUCAGUAUUUUUUUGCCAAUCAUCGUAACACCUCGAGUAUGACAACAUGGAGGGAUUGCGAAAUGAUAANNNNNNNNNNNNNNNNNNNNNNNNNNNNNNNNNNNNNNNNNNNNNNNNNNNNNNNNNNNNNNNNNNNNNNNNNNNNNNNNNNNNNNNNNNNNNNNNNNNNNNNNNNNNNNNNNNNNNNNNNNNNNNNNNNNNNNNNNNNNNNNNNNNNNNNNNNNNNNNNNNNNNNNNNNNNNNNNNNNNNNNNNNNNNNNNNNNNNNNNNNNNNNNNNNNNNNNNNNNNNNNNNNNNNNNNNNNNNNNNNNNNNNNNNNNNNNNNNNNNNNNNNNNNNNNNNNNNNNNNNNNNNNNNNNNNNNNNNNNNNNNNNNNNNNNNNNNNNNNNNNNNNNNNNNNNNNNNNNNNNNNNNNNNNNNNNNNNNNNNNNNNNNNNNNNNNNNNNNNNNNNNNNNNNNNNNNNNNNNNNNNNNNNNNNNNNNNNNNNNNNNNNNNNNNNNNNNNNNNNNNNNNNNNNNNNNNNNNNNNNNNNNNNNNNNNNNNNNNNNNNNNNNNNNNNNNNNNNNNNNNNNNNNNNNNNNNNNNNNNNNNNNNNNNNNNNNNNNNNNNNNNNNNNNNNNNNNNNNNNNNNNNNNNNNNNNNNNNNNNNNNNNNNNNNNNNNNNNNNNNNNNNNNNNNNNNNNNNNNNNNNNNNNNNNNNNNNNNNNNNNNNNNNNNNNNNNNNNNNNNNNNNNNNNNNNNNNNNNNNNNNNNNNNNNNNNNNNNNNNNNNNNNNNNNNNNNNNNNNNNNNNNNNNNNNNNNNNNNNNNNNNNNNNNNNNNNNNNNNNNNNNNNNNNNNNNNNNNNNNNNNNNNNNNNNNNNNNNNNNNNNNNNNNNNNNNNNNNNNNNNNNNNNNNNNNNNNNNNNNNNNNNNNNNNNNNNNNNNNNNNNNNNNNNNNNNNNNNNNNNNNNNNNNNNNNNNNNNNNNNNNNNNNNNNNNNNNNNNNNNNNNNNNNNNNNNNNNNNNNNNNNNNNNNNNNNNNNNNNNNNNNNNNNNNNNNNNNNNNNNNNNNNNNNNNNNNNNNNNNNNNNNNNNNNNNNNNNNNNNNNNNNNNNNNNNNNNNNNNNNNNNNNNNNNNNNNNNNNNNNNNNNNNNNNNNNNNNNNNNNNNNNNNNNNNNNNNNNNNNNNNNNNNNNNNNNNNNNNNNNNNNNNNNNNNNNNNNNNNNNNNNNNNNNNNNNNNNNNNNNNNNNNNNNNNNNNNNNNNNNNNNNNNNNNNNNNNNNNNNNNNNNNNNNNNNNNNNNNNNNNNNNNNNNNNNNNNNNNNNNNNNNNNNNNNNNNNNNNNNNNNNNNNNNNNNNNNNNNNNNNNNNNNNNNNNNNNNNNNNNNNNNNNNNNNNNNNNNNNNNNNNNNNNNNNNNNNNNNNNNNNNNNNNNNNNNNNNNNNNNNNNNNNNNNNNNNNNNNNNNNNNNNNNNNNNNNNNNNNNNNNNNNNNNNNNNNNNNNNNNNNNNNNNNNNNNNNNNNNNNNNNNNNNNNNNNNNNNNNNNNNNNNNNNNNNNNNNNNNNNNNNNNNNNNNNNNNNNNNNNNNNNNNNNNNNNNNNNNNNNNNNNNNNNNNNNNNNNNNNNNNNNNNNNNNNNNNNNNNNNNNNNNNNNNNNNNNNNNNNNNNNNNNNNNNNNNNNNNNNNNNNNNNNNNNNNNNNNNNNNNNNNNNNNNNNNNNNNNNNNNNNNNNNNNNNNNNNNNNNNNNNNNNNNNNNNNNNNNNNNNNNNNNNNNNNNNNNNNNNNNNNNNNNNNNNNNNNNNNNNNNNNNNNNNNNNNNNNNNNNNNNNNNNNNNNNNNNNNNNNNNNNNNNNNNNNNNNNNNNNNNNNNNNNNNNNNNNNNNNNNNNNNNNNNNNNNNNNNNNNNNNNNNNNNNNNNNNNNNNNNNNNNNNNNNNNNNNNNNNNNNNNNNNNNNNNNNNNNNNNNNNNNNNNNNNNNNNNNNNNNNNNNNNNNNNNNNNNNNNNNNNNNNNNNNNNNNNNNNNNNNNNNNNNNNNNNNNNNNNNNNNNNNNNNNNNNNNNNNNNNNNNNNNNNNNNNNNNNNNNNNNNNNNNNNNNNNNNAUCGGUGGCCAUUCGGACGGAUUUGUUGAUCAUGCAAUUAAAUAUAGUGUGUACGGUUUGAAGGUUGAUAACUUAUUUCGGGAGACUAGAAUACGAAUCGUCAACGAGCUUCAUAUGAAUAAGCGAGUUUCCUUUUUUUGAGAAAAGAAGAUGCUAUUAUUACAGAGUUCGAUAAGUCGAGUGCGUAAAGUCGAUUAUGUAAACAAGUUGGGAAUUUGAUGAGUUGUGUGUACGGCGAAAAAGCAUGAUUGAGCUUUCGCAUCUAGUUAAGAAGGCUUACCUGAAUGAUCAGAAAAGAUUUAGUACCUAAUUGGGUUUUUGUACGUGAGCUUUUCAGCUAAUCAAAAGAGAUCCCGUACCAAAUUGGAUUGUCAGUUAAAUUUUCAGCUUUAGUUACGGAUUAUGAAAUUUCUUGAGUCCUGUCAAGUCGAGUGUGUGCAUUUGCAGAUGCGAGAGCUUGAUAAAUAGGGAGUACGAGGAAGGAACUGGGUCGAGAUUGCUCAUCUUGUCACAAGGCCAAAUGACUAAAUUAAAAACCAAGGUUGGACCAGGAAGCGUUUGUGGUCUGGAUUAGACGACUUUGAGAAUGGACAUUAGUACAUUACCUUGCUAGCGGACUUCUGAUUUUGUAUGGAUCAAUGUGGAGCAAGGCAUGAGAUUUUGGGCCUUUUGAGGAAGGCCUCUUGGCUCACGAAUAACGUGAACCAUAUCUACUUAUCAAGUAUGGAACCUUGGUCUAUCUGACUAUAUUCUGUUGAGGUUAUCUCGAACUUUGGCGGUUGGUUUAUAAAUGUAAGAGAAACUCUCUCCUAUAUGGUUGUUGGGUCUUGACUUGUUUGUUACCUAAGAGAUACGGGUUGUUGCUACUCUAACAUGAUGGGAAGAUGGAUCUCAAGCAUGAAUAUCAAGGACAAGAUGGUUGUUGGGUCUUGACUUGUUGGUUACCUAAGAGAUACGGGUUGUUGCUACUCUAACAUGACGGGAAGAUGGAUCUCAAGCAUGAAUAUCAAGGACAAGAAGAAGAAAUUAUGGUCGUCAUUGAAAGACUGUGAAUAAGGUGUUAAAAAAUUUCAACAUGGAUAAGGCAAAACCGAUCAAAACUCCUCUAACAAGCCACUUCAAACUUUUCGAGGAUAUGUGUUAGAAUACUCAAAGAUGAGAUGGUGGUAGUCAAAUAUGCAUCCACAUUGGAAAGUUUGAUGUAUAUCAUGAUGAGCAUAGGACCAAACAUUGCAUGAUAGUGGGAGUUGUGAGUUAAUAUUUGCAAAACCAGGCAAAGAGCAUUGGAGUGCACUACAAUAGAUAUUAAGAUAUCUAAGGCAUACCCUCUCACAAACAAACGCUGCUGCCAAUUCAAUGGAAGUCUAGUCUCCUUCAACACAGUCAUCACUUAGCAAGUAUGCAAUUCAGUGGAAACAGAGAGACAUUUAAUGGACAUUAACAAGUCAUGAAGAAAGAGCCUUCUGUAAUGGAGAUUUCUCUCACCAAAUCAUAAAAAUUGCGAGAAAUUAACCAUCUCUUAAGCAUCAGCCAUCAACACUUUUACAAACAAAACAAAAGUGUACACACAGCUGCAUUUUGCAGAGACAAAAAAGGCUAGCGAAAAGCACAAAUGCACCUACUGUGAAGCUCGGCCAGGAUGAACAGGUGCCCCGAGAGUCCAGCAAAAUUCUCCUCUGCAAAUGCGAGUAAUACAUCGUCUGAGCUACUCCACAACACCUCACAGGCACGUUUUUCGGUGAUUACAUCUUCGAAAUCAAACACAAAAAAUCGAUUAGCAGACCUAAUCAGUGUUCUCGAGACUGCAAACAAUUUUUUUUUUUGGUAAAGGACUGCAAACAAAUUUUGGUGUCUCCUAAAAUUGAUAAAUAAAAUCCUUGCCAAAUCUCUAUGUAAGGAAAAAAAUUGGCAGGGUACCUACCAAGGGCUAGCUAAGUAUGUACAUUGUUCUUAUAUCCACAGGAAAGACGACCCUUGCCCAUAAUUCUCCGGGCACCGGCAAUGUUACUAAUCAAGUAGCUAGCAAAAUUUACCGCUGCACUAAGCUCCAUUAACUUCAAACAGAGUGUCUUAGUCAAGUACAAUAAUCUGCUGUCAUCCUUCCACUCAUUAAUUGUAGAUCCUGAGCCUGUUCACGUGUUAGUACCGUGUAAAGUGGCGACGGUCCAUUAGUAGAGUGCUCAUGGAAGCUAUUUAAAUUGCUAGGCAAACUGAUUUUUAUUAUUGUCAAAGUUAACUCUUAGUAUGGCCAUUGACUUUGGGUCAUCAUUUAGAGGAUAAAAAAUGACCAUGAAAUUCCCAAAUGCUAAAUCAGGCUUUAGGAACAGAUCCACCAGCAAAUCACUGCUUGCCCCGAUAUUUCUCUACACAAACUUUCUUGGAGUGGUUUCCCAAUCCCUGGCAGCAUGAGAAAUGUGUGAAGCUUCUUUCAAGCCACUCAAGAAGGCACCAUGCAUGCUGGCUGGGUAUUGCCUACUUGUGGCUUCCCCAGCAAAAAAAAGGCCGGUUCCCCACGCUCUCUCCAAGUACGUCAUAAUCUCUACCAGACGAGUUCACUCUUGCAAGGGAAUAUGAACCAUAAGAAAGAGGAUCACUUCCCCAUCUUGUACAUAUAGAUUGUAUAACCUCCGUGCAUGGCAAUCAACCUACGUAACAUAAAAAGGAAGGCAAUUUACUUGCCUGAGGUCCUAUUUAUUCAGUCGAAAUUAGAACCCAAAAAUCUGGAUGUCACACCGAGGCUGCGGCUGGCAUUGUGUGUAUUUGACAUUGAACGAGUGAAAGAAAGAAUGACAAUUCAUGGUUGAAUCAGCAUACAAAACCACAUCAAAAUCAAAUGGUUAUGACGACAAAGAAAGAGUUGAAGCUCCAAUUUCACUUUCGGGUGCAAAAACUAGAGAUACUUGCCCUUCUUUGUCAUGAGCCUAUUAAGUUUACAUCAAAUGUCGAAUCUACACAAGAUGCAGUUGCGGAAAAUCUCCUUUCUAGUCUUCUUACGAAUCUGACCUUUGUUUAAAAACUCAAGGUCGGACGAUCAUUUUUAAUGGUAAAGGUUUUGAUGAAUUCAUUCGAGAAGUGCAUUUGAUCAGUAGCUAAUUACUAUAUUUAUCAGAUGAUUUCUUUUGGGGAUCAUGUUAUUCAGGUGUUUAAUCAAACAAGAAAGAGAUCCUAGAAUAGGAAGGUUUCAAAUUUCACUACUUCGAUAAGUCACCAAUCUACUAAGUAUCCCAUCAAAUAAUUCGAAGAUUUGUUAAACUACGAAACCUCAUUUUGCUGUGAUGUGAUAUAUUUCCGAUGUGAAUAGAAAAGUACCAAAUGAAUGAUUAAGUAUUCCUUCAGCUGUUGAGACAUAUCAUUAUGUAUGAAAGAUGGCCAAUGAGUUCAAGGCAUAACAUUGGUAAUACUAUGUAAGCUUUUGUUUACCAAGGGUUUGAAUCCCUCUCUUUACACACCUUGAAGUAAUUUCCCAUUGAUACUAAUCACAAUGUAUCAAAGAAAAACACAUACCCUAAUUCCAAAAGUUAAAACUUUCUUUGAUAUGUAUCCCCUAUUUCCAAGUCCCCACUUGAAAAUUCUGGCUUGAAGAAAUAAAAUAACCUGGCGCAAUUUAAUUUUCCUUAAAUCGACGUAUUAUGGGUUAGUGGCAACUUAUGAAUAAAAUCUUAUGUUCAUGAUUGACUGGGAAACGAUUUGCGAUUGAUAGGGCUCGGGUGAAUCAUAGCCAAGCAUAAGCGUCAUCUUGCAAGAGAAAUCGUUCGUGUUCCCAUGGCCAUAUGUUAACUCAUAUCAUGAGAACAUUUAGCAUUUUACCCAUGGCGAGGGUCGUGAUAAUUGUACUUUCCUAUAAUAGAUGCAAGUCAAGCAAUCAUGAGAUAAUUAGUUUUUUUUUUUUUAUGCAUCUCGAGUAAUUUUUCAUAUAGAAAAAAAAAAGAAGUAAAAUUAAAUGCAAAUUUCGUCCUUUUGAGGAUUAGUAAUUCUGGUCAAUGAUUUGGGAACAACGGAUGGUUUUUUUAAUGGAAUCAAUUUUCGGAAAUUUUGAACGGAAAAUUUUUAUUUUUAUUUUUAUUUUUGUGUUUGGUGCUCUUUCUUUUCGCGGGGGGAGGGGGGGGGGUAAUUUACAUAAUCCAAUGAUGGUCUGUGCUCCUUUGAAAACGAACGGUGCAGAUGUGCUGAGUGCGAAAAUUUUAGGGUUUUUUAUACCUAGUAGAAAUUCGAACGACCAAACGUAACCUGUAAGCCACUGUGAUUUCUUCCUCCUCUCAUCUUGCCUCUUCCUUAUUUCCUCUCGCCGUAUCCCACCUCUCCAAAUUUCCAUGUGAACGAGAUCGAGAUCGAGGGAGAAGAACUCGAGCGGGCAGUUGAAGCCGGGCCAUGGAAAUUUUGCUGUAACCGGAGUCGAGGGCGUGUGAUCAGGGGCUGAAGUAUCGACGCCAGAGAUUAGCAACUGGACCGGAACUUCAGUCCUCCUCAUUGUACGUUGUCUUUUGGCCUCGUUAUGCAAUUGCAUGCCUGUCUGAAUUUUCUGUUGCAACUCGUGACGCUCUAUUAUAGGAUUUUUCUACUUAAAUUUCCAGAUCUUUUAUAUCUGUAAGAAACAUAAGACACUUAAAUCGUUUAAUCGGCCAAAUAUGGAACAGAAAAAAAGCAAUAAUAAUGUCUGGUCUUGUGUCUGGAGCUUUUUCCCGGAAGGCGUUCUCUAUCAAAUAAGAUAAUUACUGUUCCCGUUGAGCAAAGAGCGAAGAUUUUUAUUGGUUUAUCAACGCCAAGUUACAUAAUUGGCUUGACUGAUGGCUUCCACUUCAAUCGUUCUCAACUCCAACUGAGGUCGAAAGCCUUUGGUCAAGCCAAGCCAUACUAGAUGCGGGCAAACUGGAUAGUUUACCGUCCAUCGUUACAAUUGAUUGGCAUUAAUAGAAAUCAAGCAAAUUGAAGAACUUGAGGGUGCAGCUGAGCCGGGGCCACGAAAUAAUGUUGAGAGAGAAUCUUAGAUGUAGCAGCAAAUUGGACAAUUACGUUGGGUUUUGGUGAGCUUGACUCAAAAUUUCACUCUUCAUGCUCACUUCACCAAAUCUUUUUUCCUUACAAAUCUCCAAUUCCGUGUCCCAUUUUUUCAUUAUGAAUCUAUGAUUUCACAUAUAGGUUCAUAUAGGCUGAAAUUUUGAGUUGGUAGAACAAUUUGCUGCAUCCGAGUCAUUCACAGAAAAACUAAGCCGGGCUUGUGUAUAAGAAGCAAACGACAGAACAAUAGCUUUUAAUCUGAAGAGCAAAAUUUGAGGAUUGUUUCCUGUCUUUUCAAAAGAAGUUCCCAGGGUCUUGCUUGUUGGUACCCAGUCACUUGAAACAUAUCUGUUCACUCUUCUGUGGGUUACAGGCGAAAUGCCGAGUGCGACAUUUAAAUUAUGGGAGCUUGUUGAGUUUCUGCCUAAUAAAUUGUUGUUGAUUUGUCUGACAUGCCAUGCCCACUGAAUAACCCAAUGCAGAGGAUUUGUCUAACAUGCCACGCCCACUGAAUGCAGAAGAGGAAGAACCCAAUACAGAGGUUCCCCAAGGUAUGUGCAUCUCCCAAUUCCGCUUUUGUAAAAGCUCGUGCAGGAUGCUUAAUUUGUCUUCUAAUCUUCACCUAAUAAUAGGGGUAUAGGCAGGACCUCAGAUUUCUGAUAGUUAUAGAAAAAUACAAAAUAAACAUGAACUAAUAGGAAGAGAGGAGCUUAAGAGUUGGUCAUUGACGAUUAAUAGAUCUUUGAAAAUGGUCAGAACAAUAAUCCUUAAGUAUGAAAUUUAAAUUUUGAAAAGCAAUGGCUCUCUAUCCCCUCAGAUCACCUACAUAAAGAGCAUUUGCUUUUUUAAAACAGAAGCAAAUUAUGGUUUUCAAUCUGAAGAGCCCAGUUUGAAAUCUGUCUCCCGUGUACUUUAUAUAAGAAAGCCUCCAUCCGUUUACCCUUUCGUGGGAUGCAGGGGAAAUGCCGAGAGCAUUGGAUCCACUUUCAGUUGUUGAGGUUCUGCCUAAUAACAAGCGGAAGUGUAACUUCUGCGGGAAUGAGUACGUUGGAGACAUGAAGAGGAUCAAGGCGCAGUUUGCUGGGGUAGGAGGAUGUGGAAUUCUUGGCUGUAAGGUCUUGAAUGACCGAGUGAGACCAGAAGCACCAGAGGUGCUGCAGGAUGAAAGAGCAGUGGAAUCGAGCAAGAGACAAGGCAAUGAAGAAGGUUCAUCCAACCUUACACAGAGUUCGCAUCAGCCCUUGACUGCGGGCAGUGAAGUUGCUCGGUGUAAGACUUCAUUUGUUGCCAUGCCGUACCUGAGCUAUGGUGCAGGUUUGUCAACCUUUCUUCCAUCGGCUGAGACGAAUUUUCCCAAUCAGUCUGUUGCUGCUUUAACCAACAUACCACGCCUGCGGAAUGCCAAAGAGGGAGAACUCAAUACAGAGGUUCCACAUGGUAUGUGUGCAUCUCUAAAUUUCAUCUCUAAAUUUGGCAUACGUUGAAGCUUGUGCAGGCCGCCUUAUUUGUCUUCUAAUCUUCACCUAAGAAAAGUGAUACAGGUAUAGAGAAACUGAAAAUGGUCAGGAAUUAAUAGGACAAGAGGAGUUUUAGAGUCGGCCAUUGAUAAUUACUAGAUCUUUGAAAACGAAAAGACAAAUGUUUUGAAGUGUGGCAUUCAAAUCUUGAAAAGCCAUGGCUCUCCCUGUCCCCUCCGAUCUUCUACAUGAGCAUUGGCUUAUAUGGUUAAAUUAUUUAUGAAAGAUAAUUCCCACGACUUUUAAUUUUAAAUCAAUUCUUUUCUAAUGAAGAGCUCAUGAUAUGGAGUCGCCAGUAUUUCACUAUCGUGACAUCAAUGGCUACAAUACAUAUUAAUUAUUGUAUCGAAUGUUGCAUGUAAUAUUUUUGUUCGAAAAAGUGAAUACAAAGUUACACUUUUUUUAUUUCCAUGAGUGUAACAUACCUAUAAAAUAUAUCUAAGGAGUACCCAAUACUGAAUUUUCACUUAUAAUUGUGUUUAGGUGCGAGACCGCAUCUUGGACUGGCUAAGAGUCAACGAGGUACCCGUGGGCUUGCCGACGCGAAUAUGAUGUCUCUCAAAAGAAAGCUGGAAGAACUCAUCAGUAGUCGCCAAGCAGACAUGAACAAGCUAAAGUCAAAGUGGAUGAGGAUAGAAGAGCAAUAUGGGAGUGUAGUGCGGGCAAUUAGAGAAGGAAUAUCUUUUCCACCGGAGAAAGUAGCAGAGGUGGAAGGGUUGAGAAAAGAAGUUGAACAGAUUCUUCUGGUUCCAGGAAGAUUUCGGCAAGAGGCGAUGGCACUUAGAUUUAGGGAAACAUCUCCCUUGUUGACAAUAGAAAAAUUAUUAGGCAAAGAAACUCGACGGAAGGUGAAUGAGAUGUUUUUCACUAUAUUGCGGAAUGAGUCUUUCAUACUCGGUGUUUAUGGUAUGGGUGGAGUGGGCAAGAUGGCCAUUUUGAAGCAUGUCUAUAUUAGUCUACUUGCUUAUCUUCCGUCAUAUGUAUUCUGGAUUGCUGUACCUCAGGAUUUUAGUGUUUAUGCGCUACAAGAAGAGAUUGCCAAUGCGGUUGGACUAGACAAUCUUUCAAAUGAGAAGGAUGUGAAGAGAAGGGUGGGCCUAUUGUAUGGACAUCUGAAUUCAAAGAAGGGAUGCAUCCUAAUUUUAGAUGGCCUUUGGAAGCCCUUUGAAGUUAAGGAUGUGGGUAUUCCAGUUGAAACGGGCAAACUAAAGUUGAUAGUGACAACUCGAUCACCAGAUGUGUGUCGUAUGAUGCUUUGUCAAAAGCAAAUUAAGAUAGAGCUUCUCGAUAUGGAAGAUUCUUGGAGGUUAUUUUUAAAGACGCUUUGCUUUGCAGGAGAACUCCCUCGGGAAGUUGAACAAAUUGCAAGGUCUCUUCUUGAUAGGUGUUGUGGUCUACCACUUGGGAUCAUUGAGAUUGCAACUCGCAUGAGAGGGGUAGAGAAAGAGCGUGACUGGAGAGACAUGUUGGGAAAUUUAGAAGAGUCCAGAAUGGAGCUUGACGUGUUCAAGAGUCUGCAGCUUAGUUACUUGAAUUUGGGUAAUGAACAAGUGCAACAGUGUUUCCUGCAUUCAAUGCUUUGUUCUGGAAAUCUCCUUUCAGAAGCUGACAGAGAGUAUUUGAUAGAGUCUUUUAUAGAAGAAGGUUUGUUAGGUGGAAUUGCCACCAGACAAGGACUAUACAAUCAGGGUAACGAUAUAUUGGAUAAAUUAGAAGGGGCCGGGUUGUUGGAUCCUGAAAAAGGGCAUCGGUAUCUACACCCGUUGACAAGGGACAUGGCAUUGCAUGUAGUGCGGAGCACAACUCACAUGGUUAAGGCCUAUAUGGGGUUGAAAGAAAUACCGGAGGAAGUAUUCUGGACUGAUCGUCUAGAGAAAGUCUUUUUACAAGGCAAUAAAAUAGAAGAAAUGCCAUACAACCUAUCACCAAAUUGCCCUAAACUGACGCGGCUGUCUUUGUAUAACAAUUCGACCUUGGGAGACAUCCAUGAAUCUUUCUUCAUACAUCUAAAGGGGCUGACGGUUCUAGAUCUGGGCCGCACUGGAAUCAGAAAAUUACCGGACUCCAUCUCCCAGUUGGAGAGCUUGGAAGCACUGUUACUGCAAAGUUGUUUCGCAUUAUGCUUUAUUCCUUAUGUUGGAAAGUUGGGAUCCCUAAGAAAGUUGGACCUCAAAGGGUGCGAAAGUCUUGAAGAAGUGCCAGAGGGUAUGGAGAUGUUGGCAAACCUGAGGUACCUCGCCCUAGAUGGCACAGAGAUAGAGACAUUACCGGAGGGAGUGUUGGGGAAGCUGGUGAAUUUGCAAUAUCUCACGAUUAAAAAGCUAAGGGCAGGAGAAGAGGUAAAAUUACCGAAGGUGGAGGAACUUCAUUGUUCUGUUUCCAAUGUGGAAACGUUCAAUGCAUGUGUGGGGUCUCUCGAGCGAAAUAGUUGCCAACAGUACAGGCUCGUGAUGGGUGCACCAGAAAAUUUCAGCCUUUGGUGUGGGAGGAAGAGUGAGAGGUCUUUACUCAUUGAUAGUUGCAACCAUAUUGCUGCGAGUAUAGAUGGAACAAGUGGUGAUGGCUACGCUCUGCUUCCAGAAAGUGUGCAAUCAUUGGAAUUGUCCGGGUGUCAUGAAAUGAAGAGAGUGAUGGAAUGGGAGUGGCCGACCACUCUCCUUCCAAAUCUGAAGGAGAUUAUAACGAAGAGUUGUGAGAACUUAGAGGAGAUAAUACGUGGCCCAUUGCCGAGCGGAGCCACUUGUUGCCUUACAUAUCUUGAAGUAAAUUGUUGCAACAACAUGAAGAGGGUGCUGCUGACGCAAGACAUGGUGCUCCACCUCCCUUUCCUCCAAGAGAUAUUAGUCAAAGACUGCAAGGGCAUAGAGGUGAUAAUGGACACUGUUGCCAAAAUGACGCACUUUUCCUUCCCGAAGUUAAUGAACCUUGGUCUAUGUAAUCUUCCGGAGCUGAAGAGCAUAUGCGAUGGGACCACGAGAUGCAAUUCCCUCCAGUUGAUAUCUAUUGACAAUUGUCCAAAACUGAAGGUGAUUCCUCUGCAGCUGCCUGUGCUUGACAAUGGGCUCCCUUCUCCUCCCCCUUCUCUUCAAGAGAUUUGGAUAAAUCGGCAGACGUGGGAGUCGCUGGAGUGGGAUCAUCCCCUUGCCCGUUCUACACUUGAACACUUCAUCGAGUUUCUUGGUAAGUCGCGCACAAAUUUUACUUCUUUUAUCCUUUCCAUCUCCCUUGGUCCCUUCUACGGAUUGGUUCUCCCGCAGUAUGGGUUGCUUAUUUUAUUCCUAACUUUUAUAGUGAGUGUUAUACCUCAUAACUGCUCAGAAACUAGCAAUUAGGCCUGUGCUACACACUGAUAAGUGAAUUCCACUACAGCUUGGAAGUGCAGCAUAGUAGUCAUGUUAUUAUUAAACCUUAGUUGUUUAAAAAACUUUGAAUAAAUAACAAUGCUUCUAGUCCUCGCUCUCUCCCUCUUUAUUUAUUUAUUUAUUUAUUUAUUUUGGGGGGGAUUUAAAAGAUUUUCUUACACCGGUUUUCUAAAAACAGGCCAUUCUGAGUAUACAAAAUUUUGCAUAUGCUGAUAUGCAAAUCCCUCUGUUAUAAGAGAGCAGUUUUUGUGGUCACAAAACGAUCACGACAUAGAGAUAAGAAAUGAUUAGUGGCUGCAGAAUUCUCGUACAAUAAAAUUGAAAUUCAUCAUGACAUCCUUGUCGGAAGGAUGCUAAAGCCUAGUAAAAGUAGAAUUUGAUUGGGAAUUUUCUACUUUAUUGGUUGGGAUAGUUUCAGAGAGCAUGUUAAAUGCCUUUUACGUUUCCUUUUUGUUGUCUUUUCUAUUUUACCUCAUUCGGUACUUCUAUUUGCACUUUCAAGUCCCUUUUUACUUUUUAAAUUGAUCACUAUUCUUCGGGAGUACUUUUCAUGGACUUUGUAUUUCCGAUUGCAUAUUUGAACUUAUUGAAUUUCUGUAUGUUUAAUUUGAUUGGGUUAGGUUGGCCGGAGGAGUCUCUUAUUUCUUUAGAUUGUUUACAUUCUCUCUUUAAUUUGAUCAAAGAAGUCCUCUAAUCCCUUUGAAUUAUUCUUGGAGGAGAGAAAUAAAUGAGGGGCUAGCUAUAUCUAGAACCUUGUGAAAUCUAUGGGGGCUGGUCUUUCGGAAGCACAAAUAUUGGACAGAAAUAAGAUCGGCGUAGGUGUCAACAAGCGAAUUGGCCAGAGUUCAAGUUUUUCUAAGCUCUCUCAAAAUGCACCGCAAUCUGUAUAUAGAUUUCUCGUGAAUAGUCAUGCGGUACACAAUGAUAUUGGGUAUGAGUACGAGAAAGGACCUUGGGCAUCAGUUGCUCGCCAACUACAGAAAAACGCCUCUCCCACUCCCUUUCUCAACUGAUUUUGGGUUCUUCGGACCCACUUUGCGAGCGACUAACAAAAGAAUAUUUCUGCCCCCAGACUGAUGAAGCCGUGGUGGAUCCCAUUGAGUAUGAAUCGUCUUCUGAUGGCAGUGGACAUCAACCUCAAAGCCAUUGCUACAUCAUCCUGCUCGAUUGAUGUUUAAAGUACCUCUGAACCUUACGAUGACAUAUGCUUAAUUUAUGCCUUAUUUUAUAAUCUAUGUUAACUACGUCUUGUUUCUGGAUUCUUCAGUUUGUAUUAUCCCUUAAUUCUACCUCGUGAAACAUUUAUCUUUCCAUCCCCCCCCCCC